Molecule: long non-coding RNA, 46877 nt
Filed under: Erythranthe guttata (spotted monkey flower)
Lineage: Eukaryota; Viridiplantae; Streptophyta; Magnoliopsida; Lamiales; Phrymaceae
Description: long non-coding RNA (EGUT_LNC000031)
Source: RNAcentral
GGGUCUUCAUCUUCGAAAAUGCUCCGUCUCGGGAACUCGACUCACCAACAAAUCCCCAUAAAUUACCAUAGUUAAUUGUAUGGGAAUCUCUGUGCACCUCUCUCGCUCCACUAGUCUCACAAUAAUUAGGGAUACUUUGUGUCGCCGCCAGAAAAUCCGGAGUCGCCUCUGGUUGUGAGAAAUAUGGUUCAUUCAAAUCAAAUGCCUCUACGCUCACUUGUGGUGGGGCACUAUCAAUGUACUUCGGUUCAAUCUCAACAAAUACUUCGAUUGCCUCAUUCCCUUCGUCCGGAUCAAUAUACAUUUGUAAAUCUUCAUCUGUUGUCAUCUCGGUAAUCAUCUCCCUCAUUCUUUCUCCAUUAUAAAUGUAAGAUUUGCAACACACUCUUAGCCCAAACUGAUUAACAUCGACAUCUAGACAUUGAUACAACUUUGACAGAAAUUGUGCAAAUGACAAGUCACGUUUAAUUCGAAAUGCUGUUUUGUGGGCAAUACUAUAUUGCACUACCCAAUCAUCGGGAAUUAUGUGACCUCCAAAGUACACGUACACUUUGACAUUAGUUUUAGCCGCCAUCAAUCUUCAAAAGAUUAAGGAGAUAAUUAACUCAUCAAUCCAGAUUAAUUAAUAAUGAGGCAUAUUAGUUAAAAAAUAAUAAUUUAACUAAGCACACACACCAAAAAAAUAAUUAGUUAAUUUAAAUUAAUUGCCCGAUGUUUUACAAAACAACACCAUUUUAGCUAUGGUUUUACAAAACAACACUAGUUCAAAAAAAUUUGCCCAUGCUUAUAAAAUAUAUAUAGUACUAAUACAUAAUAUAAAAUAAAUAAACUACUAACUAACUAACUAACUAACUACCCACAAACAUCCUAAAAAACACUAAUCACAUGUAUUUACAAUAAUUAAUUAAAAAAAUUAGACAUAAUAUAAAAUUAUAAUAAUAAUUUUUUUUUAAUUAUUUACAAUAAUAAUAGAAAAUUACCUUGUUGGGUGAAUAACACCGGCGGCAAGGACCACGGAGCACCGGCGGCGGCGAGAGGAGCACCGGCGGCGGGGCAGGCGACGGUGGCGGAGGCAGCGGCGGGCAGGCGGCGUCGGCGUCGGCACCAACGGAGAAGGUCACCGGAGGUAAUUAUAUAUGUUAUUUUGAAUUUUAAAAAUAAUUUUUUUUUUUUAAAUUUAACCGAAGUAAAAAAAAAAAAAGUAGAAAGAAGAAGAAGAGCUGGGGGAAGGGGAAGAAGAGCUGGGGGAAGAAGAAUUGGGGGAGGAGAGAGAUUAAAGACGCCGCUGACACGGGCGUCUUUAGGAGACGCCGUUGUCAGCGGCGUCUUCUGGUCAAAGGCGCAACUCCCGAGGUGGACUGAUCCGGCUGUCUUCAUUUGGACCGUCGGAUCAACUUGAAUCUGCACCGUUGCAAAAUAAUAUAUUAAAAAAUAAGAAAAUAUUAAAAUAUUAAAAUAUUAAAAUAUUAAAAUAUUAAAAUAUUAAAAUAUUAAAAUAAUAAUUUAAAACCAAGUUGAAGACGCCACCGGUGGCGGCGUCUCCUCCCGGUGCCGCCACCGGCGGUGGCGUCUCCGGCCGAUGCCGCCGUUCACGGUGGCGGCCAACACCAAUUUAAUUACUACUUAAAAAAUAACCCCAUUUUAAAAACUCCUAAACAAAACAACCCAAAAAAAAAAAUUGCCCCCUCCUAAUCCUACUCUAACUUAGGAAUCCUAAUCCUAAUAAAACAGCGGUCUUUUCGGCUUAUUUCUCACACGUGGAUUUCUUUUAUUAUUAUUUUUUUUUUUAAAAGUCUUUUGUUAAGGAACACGAUUUAAAAACAAACGCAACUACGAUUUUAAUUGAAGAACUCUGUAACGGUAUUAACAGAAUGGGGGGCGAAACGGCGUCGUUUGGGGAGAAAACGUGAGUCACUUAAAGAAACGCGUUAAGGGAAAACGCGGAGAAGGAAGUUGGAGGCCAGCUCAAUUCAGCUAAUCAGAGGACGACACAUGGCAAGGCAGUUAGAACUAAAUUUAGCUGAAUAUUGUUAGUAGUCUAUAAGUAGCAGUUUAGUUAGUGUUAAUGGUUGUCGAUUAAGUAGAGAAAUAUCUUCUCUGUAAUUCACUAUCACUUUAUGAAUAAUAUCAGAAUUGUUGGGGAAGAAGGACUUAGUUCUUAACAAUUGGCCAUCAGAGCUGAUUCUGGCACCACGAGCGACUACAAACCCUAAGGAAUGGCGAAGAACAAUACACGAGUGGAAGCGGUAGAACAACAGCUGGGGACGAUGGAAGACCAGAUGAAAUCAAUGGAGCAGCACGUGGCGAGUCUAUUCGGAGGACAACAAUCGCUACGAACGGAGUUAACGGCAGAAAUUGAGGAGAAAAUUGCAGAAGCUACUCGGAAAUCGGAGUCACAGUUUGAUGAGAUGGCCAAACGGUUCGAUGAAUUAGGGCGUAUUAUGGCAGGGAUGCGUGGUAAGGACUCGACCGGCAAUGGCGGUUCACCAGCUAACACCACUGCGACGGCGGCGCGUGGCCGUCCAGAAGCCAGCAUGCCUUACACUAUACCGAUGCACCGACAAGGGGGCGAAUCACACAAUUACGGAAGAAAUUUCAAUGCGGUUCAGAAGGUUCUUAAACUGGAUUUCCCUCGUUUCAACGGGGAUAAUCCUCGGGGAUGGAUCCGCAAAUGCCAGAAAUAUUUUUCGAUUAAUCGGAUGGCGGACCACGAACGUAUUGUUUGGGCAUCAAUGCACAUGGAAGGUAAGGCAGACCAUUGGUUUGCCGAUUACUUGGAGGGUAGAGAUCCGGUUGAUUGGCACACGUUUGUGGAAAUGGUUUUGGAAAGGUUUUGUGAGGAAGAAGAGGAGAGUUUGGUAGAGACUUUCAACAAACUGAAACAUGAACACUCAGUGGAUGCAUAUAAGGAUAAAUUUGAAGAACUCAAGGCGUUCAUGUUGCACACGAAUCGAACUCUAUCGGAGGCAUAUUUCAUUAACAGUUUCAUCAGUGGUUUGAAGGAUGAAAUCAAGAGUAUGGUAAGGCUGCUCAAACCUCAGACGUUGAAGGAGGCAAUGAGCAAGGCAAAGUUGCAAGAGAAGGCCAUAGAGCAAUUGAAUAAGAGUUUAAGGCAAAUGCAGAAGAACAAUGGGCUGGUAAACUCUACUCGUACUAAUAAAAGUAUAUAUAAUGAUUUUUCAGCAAAACAAAAUCCUCUAGUAGAAGAGAAAUCAACACAGGUGAAGAGACUCUCUACGGCAGAAUGGGAAGAGAGGAAGAAGAAGGGUCUUUGCUUCAACUGUGAUGAGAAGUUCACUUAUGGUCAUAAGUGCAAAAGACUCUUUAUGAUUCUGGGCGAAGAAUUACAAGAGGAAUCCAGUGGAAGUGAAACCAUGGGGGAGGAUAGAGAAGAGGAAUUGGAACUGUAUAAGAUUUCAGUGUAUGCUUUGGCUGGCCAAGUAUCUCCUACUACCAUCAAAUUAGUGGGAAUGGUGAAUAAACAACCUAUUUCUAUUCUUGUAGAUACUGGCAGCACCCAUACUUUUUUAGAUCCCAAUACUGCCAAGAGGUUGAAAUGCAUACUUGAGCCAACCUCUCAGUGGAAAGUUUCUGUAGCAGAUGGAAGGAAGAUCUUUAGCAAGUACAAAUGUUCACAGUUCAAAUGGACUGUAGGUCAACACCAUUUUCAGGCUGGAGUUAGACUAUUGGAGCUUGGGGGUUGUGAUUUAGUGAUUGGGGUGGAUCUUUUGAGGCAUUUAGAACCUAUUACUUUCCAUUUCUCCAAGCAAAGAAUCACUGCACACUUGAAUGGACAGCCCAUUAUCUUGCAAGGUCCUCAGCCAGCAGUGUCUAUGCAAGCCAUUUCUGGGGAAAAGAUGGAAACCUUGAUUAAGAAAGGCAAGGUUAUGAUUGAUUGUAUCUGUAUGAUAGGUGGGAUGGAUGGUGAGGAUCCAAGAGAAUCUAUUACUAAAGCACUCACUGGGGUUUUGCAAGAGUUCUCAGACAUCUUUCAAGAACCUACUGCCCUACCACCUAAUAGAGGUUGUGAACAUUCAAUCACCAUUAAACCAGAGAUGCAGCCAUUUAAGAUGCAGCCUUAUAGAUACCCUUAUAUUCAGAUGAGAGAGAUUGAGACAACGGUAGAGGAAAUGUUGAAAACUGGCAUUAUUCAGCACAGCAACAGCCCUUUCUCUUCACCUGUACUACUGGUCAAGAAAAAAAAUGGCACCUGGAGAUUCUGCAUUGAUUACAGGAAGUUGAAUUCCAUAACUGUCAAAGAUGGAUAUCCAAUCCCUAUCAUAGAUGACUUACUGGAUGAACUGCAAGGAGCUAAGAUCUUUUCUAAGAUUGAUCUUAGAGCUGGCUAUCACCAAAUCAGGGUGAGGCAAGAGGAUAUCCAUAAAACUGCCUUUGUAACAGCUUCUGGCCAUUAUGAGUUUAAAGUCAUGCCAUUUGGAUUGACUAAUGCACCUGCCACUUUUCAGUCUCUAAUGAAUGAGAUUUUUAGAGCUCAUCUGAGGGAAUUCAUACUGGUUUUUUUUGAUGAUAUAUUAGUAUAUAGCAAGGAUCUCAACACUCACAUUCAGCAUCUUCACACCACAAUGACUAUACUGAGGCAGCAUCAACUCUAUGCUAAAUCCUCCAAAUGCAGCUUUGGGCAGCAGCAAAUUGAGUAUUUGGGGCACAUUAUUACUGAUGGGGUAGGUGUUGAUCCUAGCAAGAUUAAUGGAGUUAAGGAUUGGCCUCAACCUGCCAAUGUCAAAGCUCUUAGGGGGUUUUUAGGCUUGACUGGUUACUAUAGAAAAUUUGUCAAGCACUAUGGUAUCAUUGCUAAACCCCUCACUGAUCUCUUGAGGAAGGGUCAGUUUGAGUGGAGUGAAGCAGCUACUUUGGCAUUUGAUCAGCUGAAACAAGCUAUGUCUACUACUCCUGCAUUGCAGCUCCCUAAUUUCUCUAAAGUCUUCAUUGUUGAGACAGAUGCUUGUGAUUCAGGUAUUGGAGCUGUUCUGAUGCAAGAGGGCCAUCCUUUGGCUUUUCUCAGUAAAGCCUUAGGUCCUAAAAGUUUGGGGCUUUCUGUAUAUGAGAAGGAGUUCUUGGCAAUUCUGUUAGCUGUUCAAAAGUGGAGAGAUUACCUGGUUCAUGCCACUUUUGUUAUCAGAAUUGACCAAAGGAGCCUCAAGUAUUUACUUGAGCAGAAGAUCACCACCCCUAUUCAGCAGAAAUAUUUGGCUAAGCUUCUGGGCUUUAGUUACAAAAUUGAGUACAAAAGGGGUUGUGAGAAUCAAGCAGCUGAUGGUUUAUCCAGAAGAGAUGUGGAGUGUUAUUCUCAGGGUGGGCUGGACUCUUCUCUCACCAUGCUCACUGCAGUGCAGCCUCUUUGGCUGGAAGAGGUCCAAGCCAGUUAUGAAGGAGAUGUCUUAGCUCAAGAAGUAAUAGCCAGCCAGGCUUUGAGACCCAUGGAUGUCUCUGAAUUCCAUUAUAUGGAUGGAUUAUUGAAGUGGAAAGGGCAGAAUAUAUGUGGGGUCCAGUGGCUCUUUGAGGGGACAGAUUCUGGAAUUUAUGCAUGGGUCUAGUUUGGGAGGUCAUUCUGGGGUCCAGAAUACUUUGAAGAGGGUGCAACGGGUGUUCUUGUGGCCUUUCAUGAGAAAUGAAGUGAAGCAAAUGGUGAGUAUGUGUGGCAUUUGCCAGCUGAACAAGCAUGAAACUAGUAGAAGUCCAGGGCUGCUGCAACCACUUCCUGUACCUUCUCAGGCUUGGUCCUACAUCACAAUGGAUUUUAUUGAAAAACUACCAGUAUCUAAGGGCAAAGACACUAUUUGGGUGGUGGUGGAUCGAUUUACAAAGUACAGCCAUUUCAUAAGCCUAAGUCAUCCUUUCACUGCCUCUUCUUUGGCUCAAGUUUUUAUGGAAACAGUCUAUAAACUGCAUGGACUGCCUACUUAUAUGGUGUCAGAUAGAGACAAGAUAUUCACCAGCACAUUUUGGAAGGAGUUAUUCAAAGCUUUAGGAGUGCAGCAGCAGUUGAGUACUGCAUACCACCCCCAAACUGAUGGGCAAAGUGAAAGGGUAAACCAGUGCUUGGAGAACUAUCUAAGGUGUAUGUGUGGGAAGUUUCCCAAGCAGUGGAGCUCUUGGUUGGCAUUAGCGGAGUGGUGGUACAACACUAGUCACCAUUCAGCCAUACAGAUGUCACCUUUUCAAGCACUCUAUGGAUACCAACCUCCACAAGUAGGGUUUGGCCCAUGGAUAGAAGUAAAGACUUCGGGCGUGGAUCAAUGGUUGAAGGACCAUUCUAAACUCACUCACCAUCUCAAGGAAUUAUUGCAAGCGGCAAGAGAAAGAAGGAAGGUCCAUGCUGACAAGCAUAGGGGAGAAAGGAAGUUUGAGGUAGGAGAUUGGGUCUAUCUCAAGCUUAAGCUCUACAAACAGUUGAGUCUCAAAAGAAGUCCUAUAUGGAAGAUGAUGCCGAAGUAUUGCGGGCCGUUUGAAGUGAUUAGCCGAAUAGGGGAGGUGGCUUAUGAGUUAAAAUUGCCCUCAGCGGCUAAAGUGCACCCGGUAUUUCAUGUUUCCUUACUAAAGAAACAUGUGGGACCGAAGGAAAGGGUGGCAGCUUACAUGCCUCCUCUCACUGAGACUGGGGAACUCAUGGUGGUGCCGUUGAAGAUCCUCGGUCGGCGUAUGGUGAAACGAAAUAACGCCGCCGUGGGCCAGAUGUUGGUUCAAUGGGCCCACUUACCGGAGGAGGAAGCAAUGUGGGAGGACGCAGCAGAAAUGCUGCAGAAAUUCCCUACGUUUUCAACAUGAGGUCAUGUUGUUUCUAAAGGGGAAUGGAUUGUAACGGUAUUAACAGAAUGGGGGGCGAAACGGCGUCGUUUGGGGAGAAAACGUGAGUCACUUAAAGAAACGCGUUAAGGGAAAACGCGGAGAAGGAAGUUGGAGGCCAGCUGAAUUCAGCUAAUCAGAGGACGACACGUGGCAAGGCAGUUAGAACUAAAUUUAGCUGAAUAUUGUUAGUAGUCUAUAAAUAGCAGUUUAGUUAGUGUUAAUGGUUGUCGAUUAAGUAGAGAAAUAUCUUCUCUGUAAUUCACUAUCACUUUAUGAAUAAUAUCAGAAUUGUUGGGGAAGAAGGACUUAGUUCUUAACAAACUCUACCUACCAAAAUGUUUUAUUUUAUUGAAGCCUGUCUUGAAAGAAAAGUUUAUUUUGAUGGUUGACAAAAAUAAUGAACAAGCAGUGAUGGAUAAAAUCUGCACUCAACGAACCUAAUUGGACGCUCGGAAUCUCGAGAAAACUUAUUUGGCGAAGUGGACAACGAUGGCAAUAGUGUGUUGCACAUUGCGGCAAGCCUUCAUGGAGAUCGUCAACCUUGGCGAAUCCAAGAAGCUGCAUUGCAUAUGCAUAUGGAAGUCAAAUGGUACAAGGUAAAUACAUACAUAUAUUCAUGAAAUUUCUUAUAUAGUGAUCAAGAGAAAUUACCCCAUAAAUUUUCUGGUUAAUUUGGUGCAGUUUGUGAAGAAUUCGAUGGCACUUUGUCCGCUACAAUAAAGAAGGCCAGACCACGGGGCAGAUAUUCAAAGCCACCCACCAAAAGCUCAUCGAUGAGGGCCAUUGGUGGCUGACCGAUAACUCGCAGUUGUGCUCUGUGGUGGCAGCCUCAUAGUCACCGUUGCCUUCACCACUUCAGCCAUUGUCCCUGGCGGCGUCAAGUAGGAUAGUGGCACAAAUGAAUUUUAUUCUAGAGAAGACACUAAAUGCUAGUGAUUGUUAUUAUCAUGCAUACUCAAUUCAAAAAAACAAAAUAAUAAUAAUAAUAACAGAAAGAAUUUACCUAAUUCAAAUUUUGGGGUUUUUUCGGAUGUGAGCAGAGCGGCUGUAGUGGCGUACGGCUGGCCAAACUGUCAGUCUGCCACUAACUUGCUUCCUCAGCCACAAACUUCAAUCACCAAAAGAGAUAAUAAAAUUCCAGGAUAAACAGAGUCAAUUUUAUUUGAGCCGGUUUUACUUUUGUAAAACACAAUUUGUAUGGAUAAACAGAGUACUAUUCCUUUACAUAUGAGUUCAUUUAAAAUGGAAUCACCGAAUAUGGAUAAACACAUCGGAUAAAACUACGAAACAGUUAUAGUGGAAGCUGGCCCUCUGAAAAAUGGAACUCUGGGCCAGGAUCAAAUGAAAUCACUACCGAUUUUGAGCACUAAUUUUGCUCUCGUGAUUUAUCUGCUCUCUGUGUCAAUUAUGAAGAUCAGAAAUCACAAUAACUGAUAGGUUGUCUGUGCUGCCUGUUCUAAAUGCGGAGCGAACUAUCCGGUCCGACAAUGAGGACGAAGAUGCCUUGUCGUCUAGAAGAUCGCACACAUUCUGAGAAUUCAAUGUCUCGAAGAUACCAUCCGAAGCUACCACCAGGUACAUGUCUUCAGGGCUAAAAGGUCUCCAACCAGUGACUUCGGGUUCAGCUGUAACACCAUAUCUACACGUACAAAGAAAAAAAAAAAGUAAAAAAACAUCUUGGUUUAAAGAUUAAACCACACCUAAUAAAAGAACAAUUGCUAAAAGAAAAUGCAUCUAUUACCUUUUCAAAAAAACAUCGCCGAUAGCUCUGGACACGGCCAAUACACCGUUGACACGUGGAAUGCUAGAUUUGGUAACGAAUCCUCCAGCUGCUUCGAUUCGGGUUUUUUCAUCCUCUCUAUCCGGGUGGUGAUCUUUUGUCAGUUCCUCAGCAUAAACUUCUCCCAGUGAAGAUCCUACAAAAUAUGCAUUACAGUUAAGAGAGAGAUAUUGACAAGAAUCAACGAGCCAAGGGUUCAUAGAUAUUUGAUACAGGGGAAGGAAAGAUAUUGCACCUUUUUUAGAGCAGAGAAUUGCCUUUGAAUCACCAACAUUGGCAAUCAGAAAUUCGCCGUUAACCAAUAGAACAAUGGUGGCAGUAGACCCCGAAACACAUCGUCUUUCAAAAGCUUCCUGGGGACAGUAACAUAAAAUUGAAACAAGCAAUUAAUAUUACAAGCUAUAAAACAUAAUGGAGGAAAAUAAUUCGCGAAAGAACUAAUCAACAUUACCUUUGAAAACUCUGUAUCGAUGUCUUGAAUUGUUCUCAAUAAUGCUUCCUCUAAAAUUGAUGGAAGCGAACGAUGACCAAUCAAUGGCACGUGAUUCUCUUUGUCGCCCGAAAGUGCUCGCUUGUAUGCGAUAAACACAGAGUGAAUCAAAAAAUAACCUGAAAGUUUUCUCGAAGCCAUCUCACUGGCUUCCUCGCCUCCAUGGCCAUCAAAUAUAGCUGCAAUACCAAUAGUAAUCUCCUCGGGCCCACCUUCACCUGCAUUUCGUCAAGCAAAACUUGAAAUCACAAAUAGAACAACUGAGAAUGAAGAAGGUACUCGAACUAUUGCAUAUCCAGAAGUACAAAUGAAACUUCAAAGCUCCUUCACAAAUUACAUAAAAACAAACUUUUCUAAUCAAGAAUCAAAUUAUGUAUACUACUCAUUCCAUUCCUAUAUCGACUUAGUAACAACAGAAUACCCAACAACUACAUCACAAAAUUUUCAAUAAAUCAAAUACAAGCUCACAGAGGGGAUACCGUCACCUGAAAAUGGUAGUUUCAUAUCAAGAUUGCAUGUAACACGAUCUUCUUGAUACUUUCUAUGUCCCUGAAGGGUGGCGAAUUGGCAAUUCUUCGACAUGUUUUUAGAAGGCUCGGCACAUAAAACCCAUUGAGGACACUCGGGUGAACUAAAUACAGCACGGACCCCACCUUCUUCGUAUGCCACCAUGCAGGACACUGAAACUCCACGAACUGCGUCUGCUAUGCUACAUAACAAAACUCCUACAAAUACUACAAUCACAACCACAACCCUUUUCAUCGUGAAGUUCACCAGCAUUCUGAUCGCCUAAAAAAUAAACAAGACGAAUAUUAGCCAAAAUACUGGUUCAGACAAUUAGACAAACAGAUAGCAUGCAAAAGCAAAAUUCAGUCAGAAUAUCAUACUUCACUAGUUCACUUCUACACAGAAACUCGGAAACCAUAGACAUUAAUUCUACAGAAACUAGAGUAUCUAUGUGUAAUUGGAGGAGAGAUUAAUAUUCACAGUUUCUUAAUACAUGGGUUCAUCAUACAAUGCGUAUAGAGACAAGAUGCUUGAUCCGCCGAUCUUUACAUUAACAACCGCAGUGUGGCGGUGUAAACCGUGCCGGUGGGUCCACUUUUGAUCGCUGAAAUUCUCGGUUCUUCACCUUAAACAGUACCGAUCGCCAUCUCAACCGCUACAAUUUUUGAUUGGUCGUACGGCUCAGCUUGGAAGAAAUUCUUACAGUUGCCAACUCACACUGUUGUUGCUUCCGUCUUCUUUUUUUUUCCUUUUAUUUGUUUAUUUUUUUUUAGUUUUUUUACGAUUUUUUUUUUAUAAUUUAUAAUUUCGUAUAUUCUAUCUCAAAAAAUAAUUUAACUGAAAUAAUCUGAAAGAAACUUAUAAACAGCAAAUAAUAUUUCUAUAUAUAUAUAUAUAUAUAUAUAUAUAUAUAUAUAUAUAGUUUGAGCCAUUUUCCACUAUAUAUUUUACCAUUUUCAGUCAAUUUUACGUUGGAAAUUUUGGUAUUUAUAUUUUUUUCUCCAAAACAUCUAAUUGCUUACAUUUUUUUUUAUUUUCUAAAUAAAACCUUUUAUUUUUGUCAUUUUGAGUUUCUUCGUUUUUUUUCUUAAAUGUCUUCCGGUAGUUCAAACAUCCUAAGAUUACAAACAUCUUUACAAUCCUAUUAUUGUUGAGAAUUUGAACUACCGGAAGACAUUUAAAAAAAAUGAAAAAAUUCAAAAUGCCAAAAAUAAAAGGUUUUAUUCAGAAAAUUAAAAAAAAUCUAAGUAAUUAAAUGUUUUGAAGGAAAAAAUAAAAAAAUAAAAAUUUCCCAAGUAAAAUUGACCGAAAAUGUUAAAAAAUAUAGUGAAAACAGGCUCAAACAAACCCUUAUAUUUAUAGGUUUAGCAGGGGUAUUUUCGUCAGAUUUUGGAAAAAAUAUAAUAACAGGGGGGUUUUUGUAUUUAUGUGUAGUACAGGUGGGUAAAUGAUACAAAGUCCAUUGUACAGGGGUGUUUUUGUAUUUAACCCAUAUAUAUAUAGUUAAAAAAAGUGUCUCAUAUUUAAUUGACCCAAUUAAAAUUAACGGUGAAUUAAACUGCUAAUAAAAAUUAUAUUACAAAAAAUAUGAUAGUAUACAAAAAUUCAGAUGAAAAAAAGAGAACAAAAGUUGGGGUAGGAGAGAGAGACAAUACAAAGGUUGUUUUGUUUGCACAUUAAAUCAGACACACUAUCUCAGGUAUACGGUUUAUUCUAUGCUACACCCGGUGAACUUCACCGGGUAUUUAAGAUUUUGACAUGUGGCAUUUAAUAAUAUAAAUAGUUAAUUAUAUAAAAUUUAAUUGUUAGCGAAAAAAUUAAAUCAAUAAAAUCGCUUUAAUAUAGUUAAUAAGAUUUUCUCUCUCCAAUUAUUUCUUUGUUAUCAAUUACCUCUCCAUUUUUCGAUUCAGGAAAAAAAAAUUUACUCCUCCAUUAACUGUGUUCUACCAUUACUGCACUUCUUCACUAUUUUAAUUUUUAUUAAGUUCUUUCACGAUAAAUUGCACUGGAAAAUAAGAUAUUGGCUCUUAUUUGUGAAAUCUGACUUUGAUAAAUUUCUACUUCCGAGUCAAAUAUUGGUAUGCUUGUAGAUCACUCAAAAAUAAAAAAUGAAAAAUAAAAACAGACAUUAAUUUAUCCAAAAAUGGUUUUCCACUUAUGCUUAUGUUAAUUUAAUUGUAAAGUUUGCAUUAUCAGUAUCAUUUUAAUUUCUUCAUUUGGGUGGGAAGCCACUGUUACAUAAUCUAAACAAAUAAUGGAGAAAUGCAUUAUAAUGGUGGAAGAUGGUUAACGAAUGUGUAAUUGAAGAAUAAGGAAAGAAUUGUAGAGAGAAAAUCAUAAUUGCCUAUAAUAAAGUGAUUCUAUUAAUUUAUUUAUCUUCCUAUAAUUAAAGUUACAUAAUUAACUACUUAAUUAUUAAAUACCACAUGUCAAAAUCUCAAGACAUUCGGUGAAGUUCACCGGGUGUAGCAUAGAAUAGACCCAGGUAUACAUACAACAUACAUACACUGAAAGGCUACAAAGCUAACUUCAUCUUCUUCUCUUUUUUCUUUUCCUGGUUUUUUUUUUUCAUAAUAAUGUACUAGUAGUAGUUUUUCUUGUCAAGGUUCUUGGGAGUUGACACGGCUAUGGAGUUCUAACAUCUCUUGGUGAUUCGGAUCAACCGACAAUGCGGCCCUACAAUCACGUAAUGCUCCGAUAACAUCUCCUAUGUGCUCGUGAAAUGCAGCUCGUAAAUGAAGAAGGUGAAGAUCCGCUUUGAAUGCGAUUGCCUUCGACAGUUCUUCCACCGCUUCUUUCUCUUUGUGGUUAUCCAUCAAAACUACACCGAGAGAGAAACACAUACAAUUAUUAUUAUUAUUUAACGGUAAUAUGAAUUGGAUCGGAAUCCCGAAUGUAAUAUGUAAUCCGAUUUCGUUCCGAAAAAAAAAAUAAAAAAUUCAGAAAAAUAAAAAAUCGGACUUUCAGAAUUCAGAAUGAAAAUCUACUAUUUUUCAAGAACCGACUAGUUUAUAUUUAAUUUAUAUUUUAUACGAUUAUGAAGAAACCUAACCUGCGGCUCGAUAUCUGUAAGGAUAAACCCGAAGUGGGUCCAAUCGAGUCACCAUUUCAAGAUCCGUCUUUGUGAGUUCGCGGUCGCCAUACUCUGACCUCUUUUCAUAAGCCGAGGCGUUAUUUCUAGCUUUCUCAAUAAGCUUAGUCAUCUCAGCAUGAGCUGCACUUUUAUCAUGUCUUAGAAAGUGGACCCGAGCAAGACCUUGGUGGGCCCGCGUGUGCCUGAUUUUGAGGGCGUUGAUAUAGCAAUCAGCUGCAGCAUCCAAGUUACCGCAAUCAACGUACACACUUCCCAGAUUAUUCAGUGCCUAGUCAGAGAAAAUAAUAACACUUCAUUAGACAAGCUGGUAAUAAUAUUAAUAUUAGGUUUAUUGCAUUCAGCACCUUCUAUUAUAAAUAUUAGCAAAACCCCCCACAAUGAUGCAAUUUUUCUUUGGAUGUAUUUUGCUAAAAUAAUUGCAUCAUAGGGUUUCUUUAGCAAUUAGACUAAACUCGAGGGUGUUGAAGGCAAUCAAUAUAUUACAAGACAGAUUAGAACUAUGGUCUACACUAAAAUAAAAUAUUGAUUUGCUAAAAACGGAGAAUAAUAUAUACCAUUAUUAUCGUACCUGGCCUUUGCGGAGUCUAUCGGAAGGGCAUUUUAGAGCUUCUUCGAGAAGAGAUACGACAGUGGAUGAACAAGAUGGAUCUUGACUAGAGUCGGCUAAGGCAUAGGCUUUCAAGAAAAAAGCUUCAAAGGAUCUUUGGAGAUUAAUAGAUUCCUCGGCUUUUCUUAGGCCUUCUUCGCAGUGACCAGUAUCAUAUAAGAUCCAUCCCUCGUAAACUAAUCUUUCGGGUUCACUCGAUGCGUGCUGGCGAGCCAGCUGUAAACUCUUCAUUGCUGCUUCAGGACAAUUGAGUCUGAUCACAAGUCAAAACAAAAUUAGAAUUUUAGAAACCUAAAAUUAAAAAAUGAAUAUUUAUAAGUAUUAUACAUCACGACUUUUCCAAUGUUCGAACAUGUAAGAAACUUGUCCGCCCCACUAAAAUCCAUCCCCGACACCAAUAUACAUGAUCAAAGGUUAUAAAAGGGCUUAGUACUAAAGCCUAAAGGAAAAACAAAAUCGCAAGAUUUUUGAUCUGACUAGUAUUUACUAUUUAAUCAACAAAUAUGACAUUUAUUUGCUUAUAAGAUAAAACAAUUCAAAUUCUCGAAAGAAAAACCAAAUACCUGAGAAGGAGUAAAGACUGUCUGAAAUAAAGAACCCCUUUAGCAGCAUCAGACUCGAGCAUCUGAUAUAUCACAGAUAGUGACCCAAUAUCAUCAACUAAAGACCACCUGUCAUAAAGUUGCAGCCAACAAUCAGCCGUUGUCCAAUUCUCGACAUGCUCUCGUACAAGCACACGAAGCUGCGAAGCCGCAACUCUCCCAUCGAAAAUCCUAUAAUCGGGAGAAAGCGUAAGUAUCGCCUGAACAUCGCAUAUAGCCGAUUGGUAAUCCUCGAUAGCAAGAUAGAAACAAAAACGGAGCUCCAAACACUCCAACGCCAAUUUAAAUCCAAGAACCCUAUUGAUCUCCAAAAGUGCCGAUUCGAAAUCUCGUUUUCUCAUCAAAGAUGCAGCUCUGUACAUGUAGGGGUAGGUCAAUGUGGGGUCCAGUUCAGUCGCUCUUUCGAGCUCGCCCCAUUUUUGGUCUCCAUCACAGUACAACGACCUCUCUUGAAACAUCCAUCCAAGUGGAGUAGUGUGAGAGGAUAUUAUGGAUGUGAUUUUCUCGUAAGAAGAAUCUUUAUUAUUCCCAUUUAUUUGGCUUAAUCUAGCUAAACCGACGACUGAAUAAACAUGGCCUUCGCUCAGAGCAGCCUCGAAGAGUUUCUCCGCUUCGUCGUAUUCUUUUCUGAAAAGACGAAUGCAUCCCAACUGAUGUAGGGACACCAUUUUCUGCCUGGCGGUUACAGCACAGUCGAUCAACUGCUUUGAGAAAAGAACAGAUUUUUCCGAGGUGGGGUCGGAGUUCAUUGAAACUUCGGCCAGUAGAGAAUAAAGAGAGAACGAGGCGGGCCCCACCAUAGUUGACCGUUGUUGAGCAUCGAGACUGGUCAACAGUUCUACUACUUGUUCGUCGUUCAGCGAAUCGGGAAGUUCGUACAGAAACACCUUCAGACAAGAGGCGGCCAAUACAGGGGAAUUUUGCUCGAGGGCGAAUUCUGUUAGUUCGACUGCGUCUUGUCUGGAGGAAACUAAAGAAGCGAGCUUUUUGUCACAAGCAUCCUUAAGGGUCCCACAGCAAAAUAUGUUGGCAAAUACCAAUAUUUCUAAUAAAAGACUCGAGGGCAGUUCACCCAAUCGUCCCGUUUUACUGAAUUCGCUGAUUGCUCUCAUUCCCAAAGGAGAAAUGUUGUUUCCAGACAGGUUGACGUCGUCACUGGAGGAUUCUGUGAAACACCCGUUAAGCAUGGCGUGAAAAGGAGCUGAAAGUCCGGCAAUCUUGCGCCUGUCGCACGUUAUUUUCUCGUCUCCGAUUCGAAAGGAAACAUUACUACGAAGGAAAAAAGUGUCGUUCGUUACGAAGCUUGGAGUUUCGUGUACAGGAAACUCAGAGGCAAUGUCUAUAUAUCCGAAGUCCUUAGUGCAUUUACCACAAGACAAUAGCAAAUCGGAAAUGAUCUCCUCGCCUUGCUUCUCGUACUUCAACCAAGCCCCAAAUACGAGUUUCUCAUAAACGGUGCUCGCCUUAAGCCAAGCCGAACGAAGGCUCCUUCGCAUCAGCUUUGCUUCUCCUAGGCCUUUAAAGACCUGAUACUGCAACAAGUAAAGAUUCGACCACUCUGUCUGGGGGCAUGACUCGAGCUCUUCGUGAAUUUCAGCCAAGACUUGAACAUAGUCAACGGGUUUGUAGAACGGAAGGAUUGGCGGGUCGGGAACCUUGAUGAGAGAUUCUCUACAGACAACGGAACAAGAAUUUGUUCAGUAAUUAAACACAUCACAUAAAUGGAGCUCAAAUUAAUCACAGAGGCAUUAAAACAAACAGAUGGAAGACAUACAUUGAAGAAGGAGAUUCCGGUGGAAGUUUUGUGAGCUUGCCUCUUUCUACUUGGAGCCAUGACUGAGGAUUAAUAGAGUUGAGCAGCGGUUCUUUACAAGAAUCGGAAGGAAAAAAAGUCUUCAUGGGGCAAAAAAGAUUAAAUAGGUCCCAGAUCUCCACAGUAGCAAGAUUGAAUUAUUUCCCUUUGCUUAACAACCACUGUCUUCUGAGCUGAAACGCCGGCUCAAACAAACACUUACAAACUUCAAAUCUUCAGAAAUUUAACAAAGAAAAAAGAAAACUGGAACCCUUGCACUUAAACCGGGGGGGAGAACCUGGGCAGCAUAAAUAGAAGACCAGAAAGCAACUGAAAAUGCCGAAAACCUAGUAAAAUUACACAAGAUCUCUACCAAAAAUGUAACCUAAACCACAUUCGGCCACCAAAUCUCCUAACGAAAAAAAAAAUUACAAAAUAAAAAAAAAAAAUUAACGAAACCCACAAAAUAGGGAGCAGCUAAACCGAAAUCAAGAAGAGAGCCACUAUAAUUGUGGUCUCCAUUUAACAAACCAACGACGGGAAGUGGGCAGCGGCGUGUGGAUCAAAGAGAUUGAUUGGGAAUCCGAAAGAGAAAACUUCAAACAGUAUUUCGCUUUUCUUUGCUAUAUCGUUUUGGUAAAACAAAAGUUUUCACCUUUCCCCUCUCUCUCUUCUCUCUCUCUCCUCUCUCUUCUUUCAUUUCAAUUUUUUGGGUUUUAAAAAUUUUCCAUUUAUUUUAUAUCCGUUGGACAUAAAAAAGGUUGCUGCAAGCUCACUGCUGCAUUUUUUUGGGAGUAGGAAAAAUGAAGGAAAAAAAUAAAAAUAUAAUUGAAAAUAAAAUAAAACUUGGAAUAAUGGAAUUACUGAAAAAGUAAAAAUGUUAUCUUGAAGUGACGGGUUAAAGACGUCUUUUUUAACAUCAUACGACGCCGCUUUGAGGAAAAUAAUCAUAGGAUUUAUAAUAUAGAAACAUAACGACCAAUUGAAUGAAGAAUUAAAAGGAGCGUUAGUUCAAGUCAUACAAUUGAAUUGAUAUCAAUUUUUAGUGCACCAACUUUUUUGUCAUAUCUUCAAAUUUGUUGGAUUUAAAUAAUUAAUAAUUACCCUUAUCAAUGACGAUUUUUUACCAUAAAAAGAAAAGUGGUAUGAAUAUUUGAUUUUAAUUAUUACAAGGCAUGAUGAUGGUUUAGGGUUUAAACUAUUAUAUUUUCAAUUGUACAAAAAGCAAACUAAAAUCUAAGGUGGUAUAAACAACUUUUGAAAGGGAGUGGAUUGAAAGCAACUCGAGCGUACGUAUGUCGUUUUUACCCUUUUUCCUUUAAUUUCAAAUGUGAGGCUUGUUUUCACCUUUUUCAUUUCACUUUGGGAGUGAAAAUUUUGAGAGUGAAAUAAAUGCUAAUCAAUAGUAUAUCAUAAGAGAUUUUGUCUCAUGCCAGCUAAACAAACAAAAAUGAAGAAGUGGAAUUGGUGGGGAUAGAUGUCACAGAAUAUUGAUAUGAUUAAGUGGGUAAUAAGUCAACCUUUAUCAAAUCUUUUUAUUUAUGCAUCACUCAUUAAUCAUUAAGCAAGCGACUAUACACAAUUUAUAUUAUUUACAUUUUUUAAAUGGGAUUUAUUUCUAUAAAGACUAACAAGUCCCUUUCUCCCAUGUGCAAAUGUGUAGUUAUUGCAAGAGAAUGAGGUGGUGACCUACUGCAGUUCAAGUGAUUGCAACUUCCUUCCCUUGUCAUAAAAAAAGACUGUAUUCUAUUUGCUAAAAAUAAAAAGAAAUCUAUAAUAAAUGUUUUUUGUUACAAACAGUUCUCAAUUAAAAAAAAAAAAAAAAAAAAAAAAAAAAAAAAAAAAAAAAGAGGAGAAAGAAGAUACAAGUUACGUUACCUUUGAAUUGCUGUACUUUUAUGGUGCACCUGCUCCAUGAAUGGUCAUUGCUCUCUUAGAGCAAACGAAUAUGUACUGUGCCGAGAUUAAGAUUAUUUCACGAUUGUAUGCUGAUAAAAUCAAACUUAGGAACUAGUAUAUAAAAUGAAGACAAAAAACACACCUAGACUUGUGCAUGCGCCGAUUUGUUAGGAGGUGGUGAAAAAUAAGGAUGCCUCAGUGCAUCAUCAACGCCAAUUCGUUCCUCCUGAUCAAAUUACGUUGGUAAAACGAGCUCAAAAGUAAAGAGUCAUUUUGAGUUCAAAAGAAAUCGCCUGAUGAUUGCUGUUUUCUCAGAGGAAAAAAAAAAACCCGAUAAAAGAUACAACUGUGAAGAGCAAAACUUACCGGAUCCCAGCGUAACAAGUCACGUACUAAACGCAGCGCCCAUAUAUUUGGGAACCUGAGGAAAUGAUACAAAAUUACUAGUGUGAAAGAGCAGUGCUUCAGAGAGAGAGGGACAGAGAGAGGGGUAAAGCUGACCCUAGUUUAAGAGGGUCUCUGCUCUGUAUUUGAUGAGAGAAAUAUUCUUCGGAGCACUUCCACGGAACGGGUGAGCUGGAACUCUGUACACAAGCACAGAGUUUUGACCAAGAACAUGCAAGCAAUCGAAGAUAAUUCGGAAAAAAAAUAUAUAUAUCUCACCUUUGUACUCCAAUUUUGAUGAAGUUUUGAGGAAACUCCAGGAAUCAAGAUGCACAUUUCCAUCAAGGCUCUAAGUCUGGCAAUAAUGACAUAACAAGGAUUGUCACCACGGGCCCAUUGACCAAGUUACAACAAAGGACAGUAAUCAAUUCAAUAUCACUAAUUUAUUUAAAGCAUAACAAAUUGUUACUAGAGAAACAGAGAAUUCUUCUUAACAAAUCAUUCUUCAAAAGUCCCCUCAACUUCUAAUGAAACUAGAUAUUAUGCUUUGCCAAAUCGGAACACAAAAGGUCAAUCUCGUAAUAAGCCAAAAUAGAACAACAAGAAACCUAAAGAAUGUAGAAAUACUAAACGAGAAGAUGUAUUUGAACUUACUUAUAAGCAAGCUCCUUCAAGCUAUCAUUCCAACCCUUGAGGUGCUGAUCUAGAAGAGCUUGAGUUAUAGAAUUAAUCUGAAACACAUUUGGUGAUCCUAAGAUCAACUCCAACAUUACCACACCAACACUCCACAUAUCAUACCUAUCCAAGAAAAUGCAUCGCUUUAAAAGUAUCCGAUUAAUCAUGUGUCGCCAUUUUGCUGAAAAUAGACAUGAAAAAUGCUAUUUGAAAGAAAGAAAUUCAACAUACUUUGUGGUGACACUUGAUGGCCCCCGAUACCAACUCACAUUUAAAAAAGCUUCCGGUGGAGAGUACGCAGAAGUUUGUUCAGCACUAUCAAAUAGAAAUGUAAAUAGAAGUUAAAUAUUGCAACAACAACUAAGAGAACACAUCUGAAGAUGGUUGGUCAUCAGCUUAAAAUAUUAUCAGAUAAAGGAAAAUAAUUAGUCAAUCAGAGCAACCAUAGCUUGCGGUUAUGUCCAUUUAUAAAGCUUGCAGACUUUGCUCAAGGAAAACGUAAUACCUAGAAGGUCCAACAGACCCAUAUAAGUGCUUCACUGUGAAAUCAUUCACAGCACUACCAAAGUCAAUAAUGCGCCUGCAAGUGAUAGGUAAAAGGCAUCAAAACUUAGUCAAAUCAUUAGAAAAUUAAAGUUUCUCAUUUCCAAAUUAAACGGAUGUGAUAUACUAUAAGCUGUCCGAAACACUAGGGAGAAGAAAAAACCAUAAAGAUAACAUAAAUCAUUUGUACAUUUUAGUAGUGUAAUUAUGGGCACCAUUCGGACUUCCUCUCAAGCAGCUACCUGAGUGCUGAUCUUCAAAGCAUAUUACCAUGUUUUCUGGCAAGAAGAAACGUAUAAAAUCCUCAAUUAGAUUUUGAUCGUGUAAAAUAUAGAAAGGAAGUGCAUAAAACCUCAGAUAUCUUUUUACCAGGUUUGAUAUCUCUGUGAGUGAUAUUCCGGUCAUGGCAUGACUUAAGUGCCAUCAGCUAAGCAAAAUGGAAGUACAUAUGUCAGCAAGUUUUUUUUGGUGAGAAGUACUUAAUCCAUUUUAUACUUAUUCACCAAUUACUUUUAUACUUGAUCGUCAAUUCCAAGUCCCCCCACCCACCCUCGCCCCCACUAACUGGCAGUUAUUAUAACCCGUUUGUUUGGAGACAGUGUGAUAGGCAAAAAAUAGAGUAUCAAAGAAUACUCCUGUUAAUUUUUGUGCAUUUAAUCAAAUAAUAUUUAGCAUACCAACUGCCAUAUGAUAUUACGGAAUUCCUCUUGCCCUGCUUCUGUAGUCUUCAACCAGUUCCACCAUUUUGAUGGAUGCAAUAUCUGAACACGCUUCCCAUGGUCAUUUCCUUCUCUUUCAGCAUCAGUCACCACUUCUUCUGCAGUAUACAGAAGUUUUGACAAGGAUAUCCCUUCAUGAUAAAAUACGAGCCAAAUCUCAUUAGCUCGUGACUCAAAAGACUCAACAUAUCUUGCAAUAUGAUUCAAUCCUUCUUCAUAGGCAGCUCCAUGCAGUCCUUUUUCCCUAAAAAUCACAUCCUCGGGAUCCAAGGGUUCCUCAAUUUCUUGUUUAACCGAUUCACUUACAUUUGUGAAGCCAUGUGCAUUGCACUGAGAUAUUUUCCAAACAAAAUCGGUGUCGCCGGAAGUUGAUAAACCUUGUAAGGAAUUUGAGGCAUUCAAAAACAUUUCUCCAAAAUAUUUCUCCCUUAGACCACUCAAGUAAGCACCGAUUCCCCGUUCUACCUGUUCAAAGAAACCAUAGAAUUUACUUAAUCAAGAUUUGAUGAUUAUCAUAACUGUGAGAAUACUGCCGUAGAACCAAAUUUCAAAUAAGUGGGAUAGUUGAUUAUAUUACACCAAACAAGAAGUAAUCAACUAUAGAACUUAGGGAGAUCAACAAUUAGUACACCUUCUGAUGUAUCAAAAUCUGCACAGGUGAUCAUAGUAUUGGGAUGAGACACUUCAGUAAUAGAAGUUAGCCUAUGAUCAAUAGAAACGAUACAGUCUAACAUGUACAAAUACAAUCAAAAGAAAGCAUGUGAAUUGGAUUAUUUACCAUUAUCCGCUUCAGAAUAAACAUAUUGUCAUUAGAGUUGCCAAUGUGGCAAUCUUCAGCGUUUACAUUUGUAGCUAUAUUGUCAUCAUAUGCCCUCCAACGCUCAUUUCUGUAUAGAACAUUUUCAUGUGUCAUUUUGAGAUCUUUCCCAACUUGAGAACAAUUCCAGUUGAAAGCAAGCCAAACUUCUCCAUAUGCUCCACGGUCAAACUUCUUCUUUAAUAUGUACCUAAUAUGAAGGAAUGUAUGUUAUUUAAAAUUUUGAACAACCACUAGCAGUGUGAAACACGAGAUAAUCAGGAAAAAGAGGAUUAUAUCAAAGCACCACUUCACGGAGAAAGCUUUGGCUUUCUAAAAAAACUGACAUACGUAAAUUGUAUCAAUAGGCAUUAUCACUAUGUCCAGACUCUACAAAUAAUUAUAUAGGAUUCACAUAGAAAUAAAUAUAUCACUCAUCUAUAAUGAGUAAAUGAGGAAACAGGAGCAAGCAACAACAAAUUUGAAGCAGAUCGCACCCCAAGAGACUUCAUUGUAAGAAGAUACUAGGUUAAAGGCAUAUGUUGCCGUUUCAUAGUUUUACUCACGUUGAAGAAGGCUUUUGAAGGGAAUAAUUAAUGUCUUUCAUAUUUAAACUACAAAUAUCUCUGUCUUUUAACUCUUGAAUAAAGAGAAGUCGUGGGUGCUUAUUAAAUAGGUGAUUCUAUCAAUAAAUGCAAACCCAGAUAUCAAAGGAGAUUACUCAUUAAACAUCAGCAUCAGAAACAAAUUACUUCCAGACAAUGAAUGUUCCACCAUUGAGAUAAACGAUAAGGCAACAGAUUAAGAAAUUCACUAGGUAAUCUACCUAGUAUCUGAUGUCACAUGUUCAUGAUGAACAGUAUUAUGAAAAGGAACUGACUGAAGCAAACCAAGGAAUCUAGCAAAGCCAUCAGAAUUCAUGCAGUGAUCUUUAUCCUCGUCAAUAUAUAUUCCAAAGUGCACACAGAAAUUUUGAUCAUUGUACACAUCUAAUGGUCCACCUGCAUAAAAAUAAAAAAAUAAAAUAGUUGAGCUACCAAAGGGGAUAAGCUCAUAAUUUGCCCCUUCACAACUUCGUGCAAUUUAAUGUACCAUUUGUUCAAUAUUGCAAUUAUUGGACAAAAUAAUUUGUAGACCAAAUGUGGGAGAUAGUAUUUAACUGGUCAAAGAAAGAUCACAAUUGGAAGAAGAUGGCAAACUUUCCCCAAGUUCAUCACAUGCCAAAAGGUAAAUGCUAAUGUAGAAAAUUAUAGCCAAAGGUUCUGCAUCAUUUUAUCAAGAAAUGGUGCCUGAAAAAAUCCUCGCAUAUCAUUGUUGAGAUCAUUGGAAUUAGUGGAGUUUCAUGAAGAUAAAAAUUCAACUCACCCCAGGGAAAUUGAUAAGCACCAGUUAAAGCAGGUGACAGGUCAGACACGGAUUCGCGGUCAUCCUUAUGGACCCAAAAUGUAUAAUCAUCAUUCACAUCAAGGUUCUCGGACAAAUAAAAGCAUCCAUAGUUGUUGUGCUUUCCUUCAACCUGCAGCAGUAAGACAGAACACCGUGCCCUCUCCAUAUUACAUUAUGGGUUUCAUUAUAAUACAAAGAAACUUAUUUCAUACUUUUUAAAACUGCACCGUACAUAUUCCAAAAAGUAUGUUCUCUAAUAUCCUUGUAAUAAAAGUUCAUUAACUAAAUUAAAGACUGCUACCAACUCGAACAUGCCAUAUGAAAGAAGCACCCUAUUGUAGGUGGUAGCGGAGGUGGAGUAAAAACACAAAGAAAGCCUCGAUGCAUCCAUUGCAUACAAAGAUAGGAAGAGUUUGCCGAUUAUUUUCUACGGCCAUUAUUGGUCCAGAUUACACAAGAUUUUUUGCAAAGACAUGAAGCUCUUUUUAUGGAAACUGUAAGAUCAAAUUUAUUAUAAAAUUGAUAAUGGCUUCUAAUGCAUGUACUCAAAUAGAAGCCGGUAACCAGCCAGAAUCAGAAAGCAGAAAAUAUGAUGGGUAAAGAAAACUAAACUGCUCGUUCUCAAUCUUACCAGUAAUCUAUCAAACAUGGCAACAUCUGGAUGAGGCUGUAGUUCCAUGAGUAAUGAAGUGUUGGCAGCUACAAAAUGAGUACGCCAUAGAUCAGAUUUUAAGUAACUUGGACUCGAGAUAAACAAUAAAUUGAAACAUAAAAAGUACAUAUGCAAACCAGAGUAACAUGAUUAGCCUUAAAAUAUCAGCAUCACCACUAGUUCAAGUAUAAUUAUUAGGACAGUCUAAUGGAGAAAGCAAAAGCAGAUAUGAUAAUUUGGCUAAUUUUUACAGCAGAAUAAGGAAAAGUAUUGCAUUGCCAAAGACCAAUCUUCAUGAUUAGGCUUUAAAAAUUACUUGCCUCCACAAGAUUUCUAAUCCUUACGUUAAGAGUACUGAAUUUACCACAAAACUAAAGAAAGUUCAUAUACUCUCUAAUAUCUAUUUUCCCUUUUGUCAAUGUAACUGAAUGUUCCUAGUUAAUGGCAUAGUCUUACAGACAAUAUCACAAGCUGCUUCAGUAACUCAAGAAAAGAGAACCACCUGAGCUCUCGUAGAUUUGUGUUUGAUCUCCAACUGCCAAGUAAUCAAAUUCCGUUGAAACGUGACUCCUGUCUUUUGGAAAAUUUUCAAAAGAACCUGGUGUUUUAACUGGAAUCACUAUAGCUGCCAAGUUAUCCAUACUUCCUCGCUCAAAUGCAGUAUUAACUAUGCAUUCAGAUAAUGAGUAUGAACAAGAAGAAUUGAGUUCCGGUGUCAUGGUGAAGUGAGAAAGGGGUUCCCACAGUAUAUCACAAACGCCUUGGGGGCUAAGCUUUUCAAAGACACCAUCAGAUGCAGCAAUCACAUAGCUGUCGUUCGCAAUCAAAGGUUGCCAAUCUGUAACCUCAGGUACCGAUAUUACUCCAAAACUGUCAGUAUUUAAAUUUAAACAGAAUAAGAUGUCCAAUUUCCAGAUCUUUUUUAUAAUAAGAAUAAGAAGUGCAGUCUUCAAAAACCAUUCUGUAAAAGUAAUUCAGCCAAAUUAGUAAUCACGUAUAUUUCUCACUGCAAGUUCUCAGCUGGGCAUGAUAUGUAUAAGAACUUAAUAUCUUCUUGACAUAAACAGUCUCACCUUUUAUAAUGUACAUCUCCAAUUGCCCUGGACACAGCCAACUGGCCAUUAAUUCGAGCUACACCAGCCCACUUCGAAAUAUUGCCUCCAGCGGAUUCAACCCGGGAUUUUUCAUCAUCUCUGUCAGGAUGGUGAUCAUUUGUCAGUUCCUUGGCAGUUAGAAACAGCCACCCAUUAGAUGCCAUUGAUUUUAAGUGAUGGUAUUCUUUCAAGGAUGAAGAAACACCAUUUGUUCUUCCCUGUCUGACAACCCUAAAUACAGAUGCUGCAUUUUACAAGACCAAUAAUCAAUUAGACUAUACACUUCAAGUGACACCCAUUGAAAAGUCUCGUGUUUAGUUCUAUGCAUGAUAGCUUAACCAAAUAUGAAAAACCUAUUGUCUGACAAAGAAAGUCUUACUUUAUAGCAGGGCUAAUUUGCUAAAAACAUCAAGAAAAAAUCAAGAUUCUAUAGCUAAUUUGUAUCAAGCAUAAACUAGUAGAGUGAUUCUCUUAAAUUGAGGAUAAGCCAAGAAUGUAACCUUUAGCCUCUGAUGGGGGCUGAUAUACUUCAGAGCACAAAAACGCCUUGGAAUCACCUACAUUAGCAACUAGAAUUUGAGAAUCUGCUAGAAGCACUACUGUUGCUGUAGUGCCAGAACUGAGGUUGUGUCUUGUUGCAUCCUUCAUAAAUGAAAUAGCCACAUAAGCAACGUUGAUAAAUUAGCAUAUUAGAUUAUCAAGUACACAAUAAAGACACCUUUGAAAAAGCUGUAUCAAUAUCAUGGAUUGCCCUUAGUAAUGCUUCCCUCAAUAAUUCAAAGGCGAGUGAUCCAUCUAAGAUAGAUGACAAUGAAACCUUGAACCUACAUAAGAAUUUAGCUUUAUUUCAGAAAUUGCAAGCAAAAGGACAAAAACAGGAUUACUUUAAACCAAAACUUGAAAUGCACCCAUCAAACCGGACAUAUUUCAAGCGUAGAAGGAAAAUGUCCAACUAAAUCAAAACUAAUGUGCCAAUGGCCACAUAUCAGAGAAAAGUCAAGAUAUCUUGUCCAACGAAGAACAAUGAAAUCCUCAAUACAUUCAAGAAUUUAAACCACUAACGCAGUCCAGGAAAACGAAGACAUAGAAAAGGAUCACAUACUACCAUUUUAUAGAAAACCGCAAUUUCCUGGACAUAAUAUCACUGAUGACCUUCAUACAAUUUUGUUUUUCUUGAUUUGCAAGUAAGACAGAGCCAGUUGGUUGUUUAUGAUUUACUAAACCCUCCAAAUUUAGUGAGGUGAAUCCUCCCGAUGUAGCUUGAUUACUUAAGUGAAAAAAAUGUCCACCUAAGUUGUACAGUGAUGAAUAUUUAAUGAAACAAUUCUUAUUUAAAGGCGCCGUAAAGGGAAAGUACCUUCCGAGAUCCAAAAUAUGAUUAUCAAGGUCCUCAUUCCACUCAAUCUUCUGACCGGAACCAUCUUCUCCUUCAAACGGUAGCUGUCUUAUCAAUUUUCUCGCUAAAAUCGAGUAAGUCGAAUCGAGAAGAAAAUAAGUGUGCAAAAUAAAAUACUCCAGCAGCAACUCCGAAGCCAUUUCACUAGCUUCCGAACCAUUAUGCCCAUCAAACACCGCCAUUAGACCAACCUUCACUUCUUUAGCUCCCUUGGGACCUUAAAAUAAACCGAACAAAAAGUUUACGAUCACCAUCUCUUUCCAAAAUGUAACCCUCAACUCAUUAAAAUUAUGUAAUUAACAUUAUAAUUAUACCGGGGAAGGGUAUGCGAAGGUCGAAAACACAGAGAGUGCGAUCUUCCUGCGAAUUCCGGCGGCCUUGGAGAGUCGCCGACUGACACGCCGGGGACGGCGAUCCGAAACGGCGGUUGGUUUGGGCUUUGAAAUUUGAGAGGGUCCAGCGAGGGCAUUUCGGGGAUUGAAACACCGCCGGCGCGCCACCUUCUCUGUACACCGUCAAACACGUCAGCGAUUCUCCGGCUACGGGAGUAUUCACGCAGAGCACAAACCCUAAUAGUAUUACUGAUAGAUCGUAUUUAUCGAACUUCAUCUUCUGAACUCAGAAAUUAUAUACCCAUCGGGAAAAUUGAAAACGAAAGUUGCCAAAUACGACUGGCGCGGAGGAUGUGAAAAGAUUCGGGUAUAUAUACAGCUUGCUUGAAUUUCAGGCAACCCGUGGGAUUUAAUUCGGGCCGGCCUGCAAAUUUAAAGACGCGUGGCCCAAUUAUUGAUUUGGUUAACUUUUCAUAAAUCUUGGCCCAUUUAGAUUAUUAAAUGGGCCGAAUAGAAAAACUAGGCCACUUUCAAGUUUUAUAAAGGCCUUUUUCCCUCUUCAUAAAACGGAGUUUUGUAAUUACUGAUGACUGAUUGCAUCGUUCCCACAGACGGCGCCAAAAUGAUGAUGCUAAAAUAUAGCUCACCUAGGGUGGUGUAGAAGACGAACUGGGAGAGCAAAGCGGAUCAGUAGCUUGACAACUUGAUGAUCCUGAGGUACCUGCGAGAGGAACACACGUGAACUACGCCGGGGGUUGAUCCGGCGGAAACCCCUCCGACGCUCAAGUCAGACGUGCUGAUCAUAGAAUUAGUCCAGAGAAUACGUAUUGUAGUAUUGCUCAGUUAAUAGGACGUACCUUAAUAAAAUGAGUAAAACCUCUAUUUAUAUGUCGUUUAUUGGGUUGGGUUUGCUUUGUUGGGCCCAAGCCUUACUUGAAGGUGUUUGGGCCUCGGUGAUAUUGGUCUUCAAUAUUGGGCUCGUGGCCCAGUAGGUAAAUAACUUGUAGGCCCAUUGGGUUGGCCCAAUUAGGCAUAUCAGUUGUGUAAUUACGAUGUUGAGUGGCAAUUGUGUAAUUAUUCAGUGAGUGGUAAUUAUGUAAUAAUGGAGCAAGCAUGAUAGUUCAAUUAUAUAAUUACUUGAAGUGUAUUCGGUAAAUUUCAUUCCUAAAACCAGCGCUCUUAAGACCAAAGAGUCGGGCAAAAAGGGAAGGGAAAUUAAGCUCGCAAACCGUACAAGAUUCGUACACUAGAAUAAUUAUGUGCGAUGAGUUCAGAAUAAUAUAAAUUGGCAAAAAUGGUUCGAAUUUGAGUCAAAAUUAUAUACGGUUUUCUCAUUCUAAUCACUACGCCACCCUACGAGCAAUAUAAUAUUAAAUCUAGGUCAUUGUGUUUAUAAUAUAAUAUUGGUUUUCACGUUAUACGCCGAUAUAUAUAAGAUUGUUAAUUAUUAAAACUUUAAAGAAUAAAUUUCCGAAAAGAAAAGGUCAUAGAGAUGAGCCAGCAUCACAUGAUUUGUACUUAUUUAAUUAUAAUAUAAUAAUAAAGUACUGCAAGUUGCAUGCAUACGUGGCCCCAAUGCAUUAUGACUGGUAUAUGGUUUCUUGACAACCGUGACAUAAUAUAUUUCAGGUCCAAUAAUUAUUCAUAUUAUUAAAAAUUUGCUUAAAAAUUUAAUACAUUUUUUUGGUAAUUAAUGUAGAUUUAAUUUAUGAAAUUAAUGCAUAAUCUAGUGCUAUUUAUGACUGAUGUCACCCAAUAAUAAACUGGACCCCUCUUCUGAAAAAAAAACAAUAAGAAAAUACAACUGGACCAAAUUAAUCAACCAAUCAUAUCCCUUAACUCUAUCUUUUUUUAUUUUAAUUUUUUUUAUUUAUUUAUUUUUUAGCAAGAAAUCUAAAAGAAAAGACACUAAUACAACAAUUGAGGUGGUGUGGUCAGAAAUCAGAAUCAUUGGCCAAUAUUUCGUUUAUGCCCUUUUGCUCUAGAACUUUCCAUGCCAACCACCCAUUCCAAUUUCAAUAGUUCCAUAACCAAAUCAAGAUAAGACAAACAAAACCAAACAAUACAUAAUAUUAAUAAUAAAAAUAAAAUAAAUAAAAACACUAAUAGAAGGUGCCACCCAAAUGAUUCAUAGAGAGUCUAGAACAUUCCAUGGUUCUUCUAAGUUCUAACCCUAGGAAAAAAAUAUUUAGUAUUAUUACUAAUUUACCUUCUUCUUUGCAGACGCCUCUCUUAACGGCAUAAACUACUUUCCCAAACAAGAAACCUUUGCAAACAAAUUUUCUAUUAAUAAAUAUUAAUUAAAUUUGUCUAAUUUAUGAACUUUUUCAGCAAUGUUUCCAGUUAAAGAAGAGUACCCAGCUGGUGGGUGUUCAUCUUCAAGUUCAUGGCAGCUGCUGUCAUCAAGAGAUCCGCCGCCGCCGCCGCAGCCAAUGGAAGGGCUUCACGAAAUGGGUCCGCCGCCGUUCCUGACGAAGACUUUUGACAUGGUGGACGAUUUGAGUACGGACAGUGUUGUUUCUUGGGGCGGCGGCGGCGGAAGUUUCGUUGUGUGGGAUCCAAACGCCUUCUCCGCCACCCUUCUUCCCAGAUAUUUUAAGCACAACAAUUUCUCCAGCUUUGUCAGACAGCUCAACACUUAUGUAAGUCUAUAUCUAUAUUUAUUUUCUGGGAUUUUAUUGUUUUUUUAAUUACUUUGUUUACUUUCCUCUGCUUUCAAUUUAAUUAGUCAAUGGAGUUCAUAACUGAAGUUCCCAACCUUGUAAUAAAAUUUCUGCCAUUAAUUACAUGUCAUUAAUUAAUUAAUAAAUUGGAUUUGAAGUGUUGGAAUCCUUUACACAAACUUUUGUUCCUCUCUCUCUCUCUCUUUCUUUCUUUCAUAAAGGUUCUCUGUUGAAAAAGAUUCCUCAAGUGACACAAAUUCAACAAAAAGAUGAUGAUUGAUGAUUGAUGAUUGAUGAAAAAGAUUCCUCAAGAUGUGUAGAUUCGAUUCCUAUGAAGAUACUACUGUGUGAAGGUAUACUAAUUAAUCGUAUAUUGAAACGCCGAUUAAAACUCAUCCGAAAAUCGGAAUCCUUUUCGAUUCCCCUCUGUUGCAGGGUUUUAGAAAGGUCGAUCCGGACAAAUGGGAGUUUGCGAACGAGUCUUUCCUCAAAGGACACAAGCAUCUUCUAAGAAUCAUCACCCGACGAAAAUCGACCACCUCGGCUUCGAGUAGUUCUCCUCCGAUUCCUCAAUCGUUCGAUCCGUGCGUCGAGUUGGGAAGAUUCGGAUUGGAAACGGAAACGGACAGUUUGAGGCGCGACAAACAAGUGUUGGUGAUCGAGCUAGUCAAACUCCGUCACCAGCAGCAAACGACUAGAGCUUAUCUUAAAGCGAUGGAGCUGCGUUUGCAAGUGACGGAAAAGAAACAGCAACAAAUGAUGAGUUUCCUUGCUAAAGCAAUGCAGAAUCCCGAUUUUAUCCGUCAGUUGGUACUGCAGAAGGAGAAGAGGAGGGUGGUGGAGGAAGAGGGCGGGGGUGGUUGUAGUAAGAAGAGGGGGAGGAGGGCGAUCGAGGGGAUUAAAUCGGAACCGUUGGAUUACGAGCUGUCGGAAUUGGAGGAGCUCGCACUGGAGAUACAGGGGAGGGGUAAGGCGAAAUGGGAGAGCGGGCCCCACCACGAGGGAAUCGAGACGAGUUACGAAAGGCAUGAUCUUGAUGAAGGGUUUUGGGAGGAGUUGUUGAAUGAAGGGUUUGAUGGAGAUGAAGAAGAUGUGAGUGUGUUGGCUGAUAGAUUGGGGUUUUUGGGUUCCAAAUUGAAGAAUAUUUCUAAGUAGGAUUAAUUGUUUUUGGGUUUUAUUUAAUUAAUGCAAAUGUGACUUAGUUUGGGAGUAUUAAUUAUUUUUUUCCAAAUUAAUUCUCCACGUACGCUUGAUUAUGUUUUUUCUUAUGUUUCUUGAAUUAUUGAGUGUUGAUUAUGUUGUUUAUUAUGUUCUCCUCAAUAUAAAAGGGUGAAUUACAACCAACCCUUGAGGUCUGACUCAAUUACGAAAAAAUUCCUCUAGUUUGGGUAAUUACAAUCACCCCUCAAUUAUAAAUCAUCUUACACGUACACUCUUACGGUGUCAAAUUUAAUAUAUAUUCUAGAUUAUAUGAAAUAUUUUCAAUUAUGUACCCGUUUUAUCCCAUUCGAGAUCCACAUUUUAAAGCAAGAUGAUCAUAAAAUGUGUUUUUUUAGCUUGUAUACUUAAGAUUAUGGUGCAUCAGAAACUGCAUUUUUGCACAAAAUGAGUACAAGCUAGAGAACAUUCCACCGAAUUUAGAAGAUUAUGUUGAUUGUGACAUCAUAAGGAUGGACGUGUAACAAGAUUCAUAGUUGAGGGGUUGGUUGUAAUUAUUCAAACAUGAGGGUUCUUUUUUUAAUUUGACCAUACCUCAAUGCGGGCCCAAGGAAGCAUAAAGAAAAAAAGGUCUUGAUUUAAUGCGGGCCGAAGGAAGCCUGAAGAUCGUUAAAUCGGCCCGACAUCACAUGACCAUAAUUAUGGGCUUGGACUGGGCGAAAAUAAAAGGGUUGGCCCAAAUAUAUUUUAUCUUGAAACACAUUUCUUGUUUAUCCUUGGAAGUAGAAAUUGGAACAAAAACUUUCGAUUUUUCUCUAUUCCAAUCUGAAUAUUUUUCUAAUUUAAAAAAUAUUAUAAAUUCUGAAUUUCAUAAAUUUUCCGACUUUUUUGUAUAGUAAUUAGAAUAUACAGGAAAUAACGGUUUCCUAAUCCGAUUUUAAUUUUCAAAAAUAAUUACUUUUUUUAUAGUAAAAUGCCGUUACGUGUUCUAUAUUAGUAAUACACAUAUACUGUAUUUGUAUCACCAAAGUAAAAUGCCAAUUUUAUUUUUUUAAAACAAGUUAAAAUAAUUGAAUCAUCUUCACUAAUUUAUUUUUGAUAAUUAUCUUCAGUUCUUCACUAAUUGACAUAUACACAUGAACACUGCAUGAGAGAAUCUGGCAAUAGAAGACCCGUGAACUAAACCCUGCCCCACCUAAUUCUUUUGCACUCAUCAAAUAUUCUCUUCUCUCUACUCAUUUGCUUUUUUCAAUUUCUUUCUUUUAUUUUAGUAAAAAAAGAAAAUUAAAUUAAAAGAAUAUCGAUCCUUUCUGAGAUUUGUAAAUACUUGUCAUUUACCGAGAAAUUAAUGGUAGGUGGGGGCUCUAAUUAAAGACGGGCUUUCGAGCUUUUCGUAUAUAUAUAUAUUAAACUCGGAUAGCUAAACAUCAUAUCGCACUGUUCUUACUUCAUCAACUAGAUCACUAAAUUCUUAAUUCUUCCAGUGUUUUAGAUUUUACGUGUAAUUAGCGAGGUGCAUUUGUUUAGUGUCGUAUAAAAAAAAGAUCGAUUGAAGAUAGUGAACCGAUGAAUUAGUAUUCUAUAUAUAAACCAAACCUUAUCUCAUUAAAAGGAACAAAAUUAAAGAUGAACAUGAAAAAUCUUGAAUUAAAGAUAACAUGUACGAAUGAUUCACAUGAUCCUAGAAACAUAGGAUUCUUUGGUGUUUAAUCAAAUCAAAUUAAAGAUUCCAGUAUGAAUAUACAGAUCAUAGAUAAUAUAAUUUAUGCAUGCAUGUCUGAUAUCAAUCAACAAACUGAUUAAAGCAGUAUAUAUUAUCAAUGGAUUAAUAAUUUAUUAAUACUGAUGCAUAUAUGGCUUUGGAUAUAGGUUUGGAAUAUUUAUUAAAAGAUGCAAAUGGAUCUGAACCCUCUGUGGUGGGGUUUUUUCAAAAAGAAAAAAUAAAGACAGAAUAAUUACAACUUUGGGAGUUAUAUGUAUAUAUAUAGAUGCAAAUCUUAGUUAAUUAGUUAUGUAAGUCUUUUGUCUCACAUUGACUAUUAUUAUUCAAUAAUUAUAGCCGUGGGGCUAAAUAAAACUGGGCAUAUAUAUCUAUCUCGAUUAAUUCACCCACAGUAUAAUACAAUUUGUAAAUCAUACGAGAGUUGUAAAAUUGUAAAAUAUAUAUAUAGCAUGGGGUAUUUCAUCAUCACACUUUGGCUUUAAGCUAGCCCUUUAAGCUUUUGGCUUUUACCACCGUAUGUGUGUGUGUGUGUAUAUAUAAAUAUUACAUAUAAGCUGUAUGAGUAUUGGGUUGUGAAAUUGUUGUGUUAACAGUUACAUUGCUCCUUUUAAUACGUCGUCGUUAUAUAUAUAUAUAUAUAUACUGAAUUGAAUUGAAUUGAAGAGACUUUAGAAGGAUUUGGGUGUUUUAUAACAGGACCAAAAGAAAAGACAGAAAGUGCAUGCAGCAGCCUCUCUUUGCAUGUCAGAGCAAUACCUACAUUAAUAAAUUCAUUCAAUAUUGUGAAUAAUUAUCAAAUAAUAAUAAUAAUUAAAAAAACAUUAUUAAUUAACUAAUUAGUAUAAAUGAUGAUGAUGAAUCAUUAGAAACUGAGAGCUAUAGGAUUUUUCCUGAUCUUUACGUAAGUUGCCUUCAUCAUCAUCAUCAUCAUCAUCUCUCUCUCUCUCUCUCUCUCUCUCUCUCUCUCUCUCUCUCUCUCUCUCUCUCUCUCUCUCUCUCUCUCUCUCUCUCUCUCUCUCUCUACCAUGCACCCCCACUCACCCACCCACCAAAACGCGCACACACACAAUUCUUACUUUGCAGAAUUCUUUGCUUUUUCUGGUUUUUCGUGCCAUUAAUUAAUUAUCAAAUAUAUUUUAAUUUUAAUUUUGCCGUAUAUAUAUAUAUAUAUAUAUAUUCAUAAUUAGGUUGGGGUGAGCAGCUAGGUCUUGUUCAUAAGUCUGCCACUAUAUAUAUAUAAUUAAUAAUCAUCACGUUUUUGUACCUAUUGAUAUACAAGCAGCAGCUGGUUUUCUCUUUUAUUAAAAAAACAAAAACAUCCUUCUCUUUUCUCAUAUCUUCCUUCUCUCAACUGCAUGCACAGCUGGUUUUCAGACAGAUAUAUGUCUGAAUUAUAUAUUGUGAUGCAGAUAUAUAUUCUCAUGAGAUAAGCAAUCAAUAUAAUCCAUGGUUAGAUAGAUUCAGACAGUGUUCACUUUCACCAUCAGUACCAUUACCAUUUCAUUAAUAUCGAUCAAUACAUAUAUCUUUCUACUUCCCCUUUCUUCACUAUCAUAAUUCAAGAAUCACCGUCACCUGCAGCUCAGUUGUAUCUAUACAUCUAUUAUCUAUAUCUAUCUACAAGUACGAUUUAGCUAGCUUGGUUUCUAGAGCUGUUAUUUUUCUUACAAAACGUUUUUGUGGUACGGUUCUAGAAUUCAAACAAAGAGUUUAAUUUAAGGAGUGUUGUUUGUUCUUUUCUCAUAUUUGAUUCUUUUUUUCUGCUAUAUAUAAUAUAUAUACGGAAGCAUCAUACGUAUAUCAUCAUGUUUCCGACAAUGAUGAAUAAUAUCUCGGAUUCAUUAACCUCCGACGAAAGCAGCAGCAUCAUAUCUUCGUCUUGCCCAGCUUCUAGGGUUCAACUUCAACACAACUUCGGAACCCUAUCUUCAAUUAUUAUGCUACCACAUCAUAAUUCACUCACCUCUGAACACAAAAUCAUCACCAAGAAGAAAAGAAACCUCCCAGGAAACCCAGGUUCAAUUAUCAAAAAUCUUGAUUAUUCAUAUUAACUAAUUAAUUAAUGAAUUUCCAUUGAAAUAUAUAAUUUGACCUAGCUAGGAUAUAUUUUUUGUUUUAGAUCCUGAUGCGGAAGUGAUAGCGCUAUCUCCGGCAACCCUAAUGGCGACGAACAGAUUCGUGUGCGAGGUGUGCAACAAGGGUUUCCAGAGGGAUCAAAAUCUGCAGCUACACAGGAGAGGGCACAACCUGCCAUGGAAGCUCAAGCAGAGAAGCGGUAAGGAAAUCAAGAAGAGGGCUUACGUAUGCCCGGAGGCCACGUGUCUACACCACCACCCUUCUAGGGCUUUGGGAGAUCUAACAGGGAUCAAGAAACACUACUGCAGGAAACAUGGCGAGAAGAAAUGGAAGUGCGAUAAAUGCUCCAAAGUUUACGCCGUUCAAUCCGAUUGGAAAGCCCACUCUAAAACCUGUGGAACUAGGGAGUACAGAUGUGAUUGUGGUGCCCUUUUCUCCAGGUUAUUUUUAUUUUAUUUUUAUUUAAUUUAUUAGCAUUGGAUUAAUUAAUCAGCCAUGAAUCUUGAUUUAGGUCAAACUUAUUAUCUAUAGUUUAAUUAGGUUUCAGCAUCACAAGUAUCAAGAAAAUACACUUAAUGACUAAAAUGUCAUUUUUUUUUUAAAAUUAUUAUUUAUGUGUCAAAAAAAAAUUGAGAAAAAGUUGGAAUGUAAUAACUGCAUCGUUGGAAUUGAUCUAAAUUGAUGAUAAUAUGAACCAAAAAUAAAAUUAAAAAUAAAAAUGUGUAAGGGAAGGAGUAAUAAUUGUCAAGUGUACUGAAGAGUUGCAAGUACAAAGAAUAUAAUGAUGAAAAAAAUUGAAAUAAGUUGUGCAAGAAAGUUAUGGAAGGUUUGAAUACUUUUUGGCCCUGCUGCAAGAAAAUUUAUCAUGGUGUGGUCGCUGUUUUACUGACAAGAGUAAAAAUUCUCAACUUAUAUAUAUAUAUAUAUAUAUAUAUAUAUAUAUAUAUAUAUAUAUAUAUAUAUAUAAUAUCAUCAUCAUCGUCAAAACUGGUAAUAUUAAUAUCUGCACAAGUCAUUGCCAAUAUCGCUGCACUGUUUUUUCUUUGCCUUGUUUGUAUGUUGCUUCAUAGACUAGAGUAUACAUUAUGUGUAGUUUUGCACAUGCACCCACAUACACACACACACACCUGUGUGUGUGUGUGUGUUUGAGGGGUUACUUUUUACCAAGUUCUGAUCAGUGGUAUAUGUACUGUACUGUGGUCAUAUAUAUUUUGCAUGCAAAAUGUAUACGUAAAUAUUAUUUAUAUAUGGUAAAUAUUUUUUUUUACAGUCAUUUUCUUCAUGAGUACUAAUCAAAAUCUAUUGCGUGUGAAUUCAUUUUUUAUAAUACAGGAAGGAUAGCUUUAUCACACACAGGGCAUUUUGUGAUGCAUUAGCUGAAGAAACUGCUAGAAUCUCUGCUGCCACUAACUCUAUCAUCUUGCCACCAAACCCUAAUAUUAAUAUUAAUAAUAAUACCACCACCCAACAAUACUUCCAUUUCGAACCCCAAAACCUCCACCCUCCGCCACCUCUCCACCAGUUUUCCCACCGCCACAUCAGCAACCAAUGGGGCCCACCGUCACCCCAAAACCGAUUACUAGUCCACAUCAAACAUGAAGACGAAGACACCAACAUUAUUAAUAGUAAUACUAAUACUAAUACUAAUAAUAAUAAUAAUAUGCCCCUUAUUUCUUCACCACUCUACCAAAAUAGGAGCCCCAUGAUGACGUCAGUACCCUUCGGGGACUUCCACGUAACAUCCGGCCUGCCGCCACUUUCGGCCACCGCACUCCUCCAAAAAGCGGCCACAAUGGGCGGCGGCGCCAUGGGUCAGGUGAGCUCCACCAUGGCCCACCUUGACAUGCACGUGGCGGCGGCUUCUUCUCAGUGGCGGAAGAGUAGUACGGGUAAUACUGAUGGGUUCACCAGGGAUUUUCUUGGCCUGACGGCUGGAGAUCAAUGCACCAGCACCACCACCGCCAGCGGCGGUGCAGGGAAUAUGAGGGAGCUGCUGUUACAUACUGCAGCGUACGAUCAUAAUUCUGCGUUGAAGCAUCAGUCUGAUUUAUUUAUGUUUUAAAAGAACAUGUACUUUUUUUGUUAAUUAAUUAAUUGUGCUCUAAUGUUUGAUGUUCUUCGGCACAAAUUUGGAGAGUGUUUUAUUUAUAAUUUGUUGCUGAAACAAUAGACUCCUAAUAGUAAUUUAAUGAGUCUGGUGAAUUCUACUAUUAUUAUUUUUAAUUUUUUUUUUUGAGAAAUAAAUUUAGUGUUUGGAGUAGCUUGUUUUUAUUACAGUGAUCACUGAUUAUUUAGAAAUCAUGUAAAUGUAUAUAGAUAUAUAACUUAGAUCCAAAAUAAAAGAGCCAAGUAACAUUAAAUUAAUUGUAUUAAUCACUUUCAGCAUUUACAUGAUUUGUAAAUAAAGUAGUACUAGUAAAGGUUGUAAGAAAAUUCAACAUUAAAUUAAUUGUAUUAAAUCACAAUCAAGGCUGUAAGAAAAUUCAAUAGAUUUUUUCCAAAAAAAAAAAAAAAAAAAAAAAAAAAAGAGCGGUGAAACUGAAAGCUACUGUAUAGCCUUUUAUAAAGCGUGUUUAGAGGCUGCUGCUGUAAGCGUGAGUUGAAAAAGGAAACUAAGUUGAUGCCCUAUGUGUUUCCGUGCAAUGCUUAGUGGUGGUCCGACAAUUUUGUGGUACCCAUAAAACCAUAAUUAUUAUUAUUAAUUAAAUAAAUAAUCAAAAAAAAAUGUCAACGGCUAACAAAAAGAUGCUGCUUAGUUGAACAAAGAUAAAAGUUUGGGAUUACCAUUCAUUCACAGGGCCAUCUUCUUUUUCUUUUGAGCCCUCUUUUUCUCAAUUUCUGUGCAUAUUUGCAUUUGUCCUACAGUUACUGUUACCUUACCCCCACAUGUAGGUAUAUAAAUUAGACGAGCCGAGCCGAGCCGCUCGAGCUGGAGCUUCAGCUUGAGAAAAUCAGCCAAACUCGGCUCGUUUACACUCCUGUACACACAGGCACGGCAAAAUAAAUGCAGCAUUUAACGUUAAGGCAACACAUACAUGCAACAAGCUCAUGUUAUUGCAAAAAGAACAAAAAACGAAAAACAGAAGGAACCAUGUUCUACCAACAUUGCAAGGAAAAUGCGAAAGGAAUCAUAUUCGGUGCAAGAAUAAAGACACUGUAUGCAUAUAUGUAUGUAUAUAUCUUUAAGAGGUAUAUUCGACCGUCCCACGAUUAAGAAAAAAAAGAGAUGUAUGCACAAGACCACUAGCUUUAAGAGGGUAUAUUCAUCUUCCCAUGAUUAAGAAAAAGGAUGUAAUAAAAAUGCAGUAAACUUACUUUGGUAUAUCCAAUGCUUUUUAGAAAGUAUUAUUGUAUGCAGUAAGUCACAGGUUAAGGUACCAAUACAUACCAUUUUGCCUUGCAGAUAAAAAGAGUAAAAGCCACAUUCUUUCCAUGAUUCUCUCUCUCUCUUCUUUCUCUCUCUCUCUCUCUAAAAGAGUUGCAUAUGUCAUGUUUCAUCAGGGAAUCUCAUCUCCACAGACCAAACACCUUUUGUUCCUUUUUUCUUCUUUCUUCUAAAGCAAAAUUAUUACCAAGCUUCUUUCCUGUGCUUUUUUUUUUAAAAUAUCUUUUUUCCCUCUUCUACUGCAAAUCCCCAGGCAAUACAGUAAAUACUCUUGCGUGUCACCACGGCAAUGAAUAAAUUAUCACAUGACAAGUUCAAAACGCAAUGUCGUAAUCAAUUUUUGGCUCCAACCAUAACAAGAAGAAGGCCUCUGCCUAAUUUCAAGAUUCGAUAAGUGCUUAAACAGUGCAGCAAAUAAAUUAUUUAACUGAUAAAAAAUUAACAUGAUAUUAAUCUUAUAUAAGUUCAGAGUAACACUAGGUGCGUCAAUAGUAAAAACGAAAUGUCGAUAACAUCUUAAAUAAUAGGGGCAUAGUUAGAAGUGGUGUGAGUGACCAGUAGAGUAUAUGAAUGUCAAAAACUUUAUUGUUUUGAAAUGUAAAGGGACAAACAUCACAAAUUCCAAAUUAAAGUGCGGCUGUCCAAAAUCACUCGGUUAAGACAUUAUUGACCUAAUUAUUGAUAAGCUUUGGACUAUCUUUAUCCUUUUACAUCCACAUCACAUGUUAAGCUUGUCUUUGAUUUCAUCAUUAUAGCUUUUAUAAGGUCCACUUAACUUUUAUGUCUACAUCCAAAAUCUUAUUAAUUUGGCAAUAAUUGUUAUAAGGUCACCUGACAAGCACGAGAAAGUUCAUGGUGAAACCUAAAUCAAAAUAUAUUAGCUUUCACUACAUAUGUCCAAAAUAUAUUGAAUUUCAAGUAACAGAAAAUUAGUGAGACUUAAAAAUUAAUAUACAAAAGUCAUAACAGAGGUGGGCACAAAUGACUCACAUGUAUAACUGAAACCAAGAACGAAAAUCCUCCAUUUCAAUUUGAUGUGAUUCACGACCCAGGACUAGAAAUUAGCAACGUUGACAGUAUUUUAUUAGUCGCUCAAUCCUUUUGCACCAACGGUUUUGGCCCAUUAACAUUAAUUCCCAAAUACUGAACCAGCACGUUGUUGAAUGCCUGCCACCAGAAAGAACCGUAUAAGAAAUUUCUCUGUUGCCAUUUGACACAAUACUUUAGCCAUGUAAAUGAAAUUUUAUACUAUGGACAAAAUAAUGAUGCAUCUGAUACAUGAAUCAGCAUAAGCACAGAGGAAAAAGCCGACGAGGGGAAAGGAAAGCAUACAAGAUCAAGGGUAUGAAUGAGACAUUUCAAUUGAUCAGGAAAUAAAUAUGCAUGUCUGAUGUUACAACGGUAGAUAGACAAGGAAAUCUGCUAAAUUGAACAUGAUUAAAAGACAAACUUAAUCCAAAAUGGAAUGGAGGAAUUUUCAGCUUCUAUCGUCAUAAAACAGGAGAUGGACCACUACGGAAUCAUCUUUAUUGAUUUUAGCAUAAAAAGUUUGACGGCUAGCAAUCCACUAGUUCUACCUUAAGUGAACGGAGGAGAAUAUCUUUUACAGCAAUUUGAGACAUAUAUUAUGAUCAUAUGCCAGAGGUGCAUUGCUAAUUCACUCCAUAUAAGAAGAUAGAGAUAUUCACGGGAUGUUGCAUUCAUGACAAUACGAGAGAACAAUAACAUACCUGGCUUGCAAAUGACUCCUUCCCAUUCAAAAGAGCAUCCAUGGCAGCGAACUGGUCAUCAAACACGCUGUAAAAUUUCUGGUAAAAUUGACUCCUGAAAAUAUCAGAAAAAAUUAAUUAAUAAGACCCAAUUAGUACAGUCUUUAUAGAGAACAAAACCACCGUGAAAGAAAAUCAAUAUUCACCCAUCAGCUGCCCCAAUCGUUUGAUCCAUCUGCUCAAAUUUCCUGGUAAGGACUUCUGCACCCACUGGGGAGAGAGCGUGCAAUACAAAAGCCUCUAACGUCCGAGGAAAAUUGUGCUGAAAAUGCAGAGUUUAAUUGAGAAGUUUAAAUCAGGAGACAUCGAAGAAAAAGAGAAUCAUAGAGUAUUAAGAAACAGCAAACAGGACUUAUCAAAAUUGAGCAAGAUAUGCAAUUGUUUUUGCAGAAAAAAAAGUAGGAAAAGGGCACACUUCAAACUACAGAAAACCAUCUCAUAAAUACAGCUAGAGCUGAACAAGCAAACAAAAUUGUUCUGGGCCAAAAAGUAAGGAUAAUAAAUACAGAACAGAAGAAACAAAAGAAACAAAAGAAACAAAAGAGAAAACUCCUAUAAAUUUGUCCGACGUUCCGCCCAACCUUCCAGAAGCGGAAGAAUUUAGUGACUGAGAUAAAAUUAGAUUGCAAUGAUGACUACCCAACUAACAGGAAAAUGAUAUUAAUCUCGGGUUCUAAAGUUGUUAAUUCGCAAAUCAUCAUCAGUCCACAGGGGUCAACAUCACCAGUGCUCAAGAAUCAACCGCUUUCAAAUUUAGAAUAACACCAAAAAAAUGUGUAGUAGUCUCCACCAGAUAGAAGAUAUUGAGUUUAAUUUCAAUCAUAACUCCAUAUCUCUUUUUCGUAAAUACAUUAUCUUUUAACACAACUCCCCCAAGUUCCAAAAGUUUUAUCUAUUCAAAUUUCUUCUUGCAAGUAUAUUUUGUUCAGGCCUAAGUGAUAAAUGCAUCUCCCCUUGGUAUAGAACCAAGUUUUUAACCUUGCUAUGUCCAUAGAGGAAUGUUAGAAAGGAAAGGAAGCCGGGCAUAUAUAGUAAAGUAAAGCACAUCCAGCCAAGUUUAUGUUCUUUUUGUUUCAUAUUGUUUAGUAUAUUUGUAACAGAAGAGGCAAUGAGAAUUUCAUAAAGGAGCAGGAACUCACUGCCAUGGUCAGAAAGACACUUUGAAAAGCACGUGGUUCAAGGCUCCAAACAACAUUAGCUAUCGGAUCUUCUUCUAAGUUGAAGAAUUUUGUUUUAACAAUUUUCUCGAUUUUGCCCUCCUCUCCACUUACAGAACAUUCUGUUUGGAUGUCGCCUACUGGUUGAAUCUGGUCAAUUUGGUGAUGGACUAAUGAAACAAGUUCAUUAAGACAUCUAAGUGCUUCAGGUUGCAGGUCAUUCAAUGAAAAACCUUGCUCCAGCUUUUCUUUCAUACUGAGUGUGUGAUGGUUCAGAUCCAGAUCUUUGUCAAAAUAACCUGGUACCCUCACAUUGUGUUCGCAAAACAAAUAACCAUAUGAGUGAAUACAACAAACACUUUUCAUCAAGUGUAACAAAAUAUGCAAAGAAGAUAUCAAAAUGAAAGGACUAAGAAGAUUCAGUAAUAACCUGCAUUUCCAUUACUAGACUGGCCACUUGCAUUAGCCACUUCUUUAUCAACAGCGGUCGAAGGCGUACAAAGCAUUCGAUUCUGUCCUGAUCACAUGACAAGCUAAGGGGCCUAAUGGUAAACUAAACCUUCUUAUUGCACCAGUACGGUCGUAAGGAUUAACAUUUUAAUCAAAAUAAAGUUAAGCUCUAGUGAACAGGUUAAAAGAAAUACAACAUAAAUAUUAUGGUCCCAACUAGUUGGUAAUAUUCAAGGGCGUAAUGUGCUUACCAUUUCCCUGUCAGUCAACCUAGGAAUUUUGAUGGAAUGAAAAAUGAAAAAGAAAAAGGGAGAACAAGUUAGAUUGUUCCAGUAUUAACUAAAGAACAAAAAAUAACAUACGAACUUAACGUACCUUUUCAUUAUUCUACGUAGAUAGUAUGCAUCCAUGUGUUCUAACAUGCUAGACAUCAUGUCCGACUGCCACCAGAAAUUGACAGCUAUAGUUAUGUCUCCACUGUCCACUUGGUGGAACCUGGAAUAGCAGGUAAAGGAUAUCUUUGAACAUACAGUACAAACAAUUAGUCAUUCAAGGCAAUGAUUGUCAGAUAACUAAUUAAGUCAACAAGUACAUGUGUUUCUUGUAUGUUACACGAUCUAGAGUAACUCCGCUUCAAGCACUUAACUGGAACUAGUUUAGUAGUUUAUGUUACUGCUAACGAAUUAUUAUUUUCCCUGUAAAUUCAGCUUCCAAAAUGAUCAGUUUCCUUUACCAUUGGAGUCUUUCAGAAAUGACUACUUCCAGAAGAAGAUAGAAAAAUAAAACAGAAUAAACAUAAACAGAAUGGUAAAUCGGACAGGAAAUAAUGUGAUUGGUACAUGACGAAGGCCACUACUAAAUUUCUCAUUUUCCACCCAACAUAAAACCAACCCUACAUAGAAGCAUAUUCUUUCUCACUUAAAUUUUCUCAAUAAUCUUGUUAAUUUCAAUACACUUAUUAACCUCUUUCUAGAAUUUAAUCCAAUUAUGAACAUAGAACCGAGCAUCCAUCUCCAUGUGAACCCCACAAUAUCAUUGUUACUAUGACCUUGAUGUGCCCCUAUGCUAAUGAGCUCAAGUUUUAAGAAGAAGAACGUUCUUCAGGGAAGAGAUAAAAGAUGAAAUAAUAAAUAACAAAAAAAUUAGUAACAUCCAGAAAACAGUACUAAUGUUACCAUCCUUCAGGAAUGAAAAGAGCAUCCCCUGCGUAAAGAGUAACCUUCUGGGAGUACUCCUCCAUCGAUUUUGCCCUCGGAUAGAGACUAAAAUUAAUGUUUCCUAAAGGAAUGGCACUGCCAAAAAGAAAAAUGUUUACGACAUUAAAAAGCAACUAAAAUUGAUGAAUAUACAACAGAAGUAAGGUGUGAAGCAUGCCAGUCCGCUCCAAACAGAGAUGCAGGUUACUUAAAUAAAACUGAAUACCUGUGGUUCGAGGCUUCCCCAUACAAUGGCAAUGGAUAUAAGGAGGAGCAUGCAGAAGGAGGCCAUAAAACAACUGAUAACCAAAUGGUUUUCGUCCCAACAGGUUCCAUGCAGAUACAUAAGUAUAAGAGGGUCAGAAGAAAAAUCUUUAGGUAAAUGUUAUACUAAAGAAAGCUGAAGGGAAGCAUAUAACAACCUUCGUAUAAGAUAAGGAAGACAUGAUAUAAUUGUUUAGUCCUUUUACCCCAAGCAAAGUGACGUAUAUAAAUAUUUUUUUAUGAUAUGCAAAUCAUAAUUAUAUAAACAUUAGAUUUACAAUCCAUGCGCCCCAGCAUACAACCUUCACUGAGUGAGCAUUCAACCUAGUUUUCAUACCAACUCCAUUCAAAACUAAAAUAAUAUUAUCCAAAGAAACUCAAAAAUGCCAAAAUGCUGAAUAUUUUCCACCACCACUACCACUUUCUCCAAAGCACAUAUUGAUACUGGAAUUUAUCAUAAAAUAGUAAUAAAUAUCUAACAACGUAAAUGCUAGGUUCCAUACCUUGUUUGUGUCCUGAAAUUAUGCAUAAAAGAUUGUGGUGCGGAUCGUAGUGAGUACUGGAUCUAGUCCUAGAACUAUUCAUCCAUAAAUUGAUGGAAGCCAGUACUUUCCCCUCCAGAAAUCCAGGCUGUUUGGUUUAAACAAAUGUAUUAAAGAUCCAAUUUAAAAGGUUAAACGUGUUAUGCAUGCAGGUCAGCACUGGUUGAAGAAUAAAUGAGCAGGAAAAUUCAGAAUUAUGACAUGUAUACCGUUUCAAUAUCUUCUCUUAGGCAUUCCAACUGAGCCAUUUCGUCAUUCUCAGCAUUCACAAUGGGUACCUGAAUUAAGUAAUAGUUAGAACAGCUAAAAACCAACAUAGUUAUCAAGGCUAUAGAUGAUCCAAGAAAGAAUAUCAGUUUAAAGGUUCAGGGAUAGGUCUGUCAAAUUGAUAAUCAAGAAAAUAAAUGCAUAAAUUACGGUAACAUAAGAAAAGAGUUAAUAAGAUAAUAACCCAAGCUUAAGAAAAUAACUUAACAGAAGCAAGCUUAUCAUUGAAACUGAACAUUGCUUUAUGAACCUACACAGAUUGUUAUCAAUAUUAGCAAUGCUUAGGGUGGACUCCAGCCCACUCCCAAAAGAAAAUAAAAUAGGUUGUAUUAUUUUAUGUGUUAGCCCACCCAAUCCAUCUCAUCAAACCCACUUAACAAUAUACACAUUUAAAAUCCAACAAAAAAUAUCAUUUUCAAGAAACUGUAAUUCAUUUGGUACAUACUACAUUUUCAUUUAUGUUGUAUGCAUAAAAAAUACACACAUAACAAUGAAACGAGCAACCUAGACUGACGCUUCCCAUUUGUCUUCUUCAAUUGACCAACCACAGAAAGUCAAACUCUCAUUUUGUUCACUUAAUUAAUUCUAGAUUCUCAAAUGGCAUGGCUCUCUAAUUGCUGGGAGUUUGUGUGUGCAUAUAUGUUGCGGUUUCCAGGAUUGGGGUUUUUAUAGAGUGGGAGGAUGGCCCCUCUGCAUCAGUCCACUGUCUCUGCAUUAAGGUUAGGCAAUCAAGUUUCAAACCAGAGGAUUAAAAACCCAACUGGUCAAUGACUUACAACCUGCGCUAGAUAUAUUUGCUUCCGAGACUCUUCGCCUACUAAGUGAUCACCAUGUUCAGUGAUAAGUCCCUCCGGCUUAUGCUUCCUCAGUUGAGAAAUCGAGUCUUUGCCAUCAUCUCCAUAUUGUAAAAUAUCCUUGCAGUAUCCAAGAAAGGUGGAGAAUGGCAGUGGAACCUAUCAAAGCAGAACAACUUUCAUCAACAACAAUUACUGAUUUCUAGGUUCGUAUAUUUCCCAAAAGUAGAGAAGAAGAAAACUCACCCUUUCAUGACUUCUAAUAUCACCGUAAAACACAGGUGCCGAUUUGGAUAGCAUAGCCCCCACCACCGAAGAGCCCACCAUAUCCUAUUUGUCAUGGAAAAAAGAAUGUAACGGACACCUCAGAAGAAUUAAUCAUGUCCAGGAUAUUUAAAAGUCAAUAUUAACUUAAUACAACUAAACAUUUCCCAAUCUUACAUGUAAAUGUUCACUUGUUUAAUUGGAAUUUGAAAUAGCAGACAUGUUCAAACUGUGUAGUCGUGCCACAUACUUGAAAGUUUAACAGUAUUUGAGGCAAACCCUAUCCCAUUCGUGAAAGAGCUAAAUUUCUAAGACACAUUACCAUGGUGUGUUAAUUCAUCACAUAUUUGAGUCACAGAUUCUUCAAAAACAGUAUAGCAGAAGAAGCAACUUACCAUCAAGUAAUCGAGGCCGCCGUUCAGAACAUUCCAUUUGGAAAACGCUUUCCAUUCCUUUACGCAUCCAGUGAACACCUUUCGAAUUUGGGGGAAAAAUCAGAGACAUGGUUAGUAAAAAAGCACAAAGAAAAACUAAAAAAAACACAGGCACGUGUGUAUGUUCGUUGUCGUGCAGAUGUGCGAACAUCGGACUGAAUAUGAAUGUGAUCAAGUAAUUAUUACAGCGGGGGCGUUUUUCGAUUCAAUCUGAGUAGCGAAUUCUUCCGGCGACGGAAUUUUACUGAACCGGUGAAUUUGAAGAGACGACGACGACAUUACUACUGAAAAUUGGUUUGUAAUGUAAAACGCACUCAAGUGGGAACGCUUUUCUAUUUUACAUUAUGAAAUCAUGAUCAAACGCAAUUUAAAUUAGGGCAAAUUAAUGGGGGUUAUUUUCGUAAUUUGGUCAAUUUAUAGAUAAUCAAAUAUUAACUAUAGUUUAACACAAUGGGCCGCUCGGACUUUCGGCCCGUUAGUCUUAAAUAGAAAAAAGAAAUGCACUAUCAAAUAUUAUAAUCUGUAGAUGAUUUGGGCCGUUUCUAUGAUAUGAGAUAAUAAUCGGGUAGGAAAUCGGAAUGGAAUUUCCGAAUUUCGCGUUGAUUUGUAGAUAUUCGAAUUUGGAACCGUAUUUUUUUUUCGAUUUUCGAAGUUCAGAUUUUCAAAAAUUCCCAAUUUGUUUAUAACAAAUCGGAAUUGUGAUAUAAAAUUAAUGGAAAUUCUGAUAUUCGAUCCGCUUUUAGUUCCGAAUAUUUCGGUUGUUUUUUGAAAUAUAUAAUAUAAUUUAUGGUAUAUUUUGUAAUUUCAUAAUAUAACUUAUAUUGUAUUUUUUAUGAAAAAAUAUAAAAUAACGAAAUGGUCAAGUAAAUUAUAACCUUAGAAAAUAUUAAUGAGUACCAUAAACUAUUUGUUGCAUGCAUUUUUGCAUUUCAAUUUUAUUUAAUUGUUUUACGAAAAAUUGGAAUCCAUUUUUAUUUAUGAAAAAAACCGGAAAAAUUUCGAAAAAAAACCAUAUAUGGGAUAAAGUAUACUGAGUUAUGAAUGAAUAUUUAAGUAAAUAAGUUAAAUAUAAAAAAUAAAUAAAAAAGAAUAUAUAAUGAAAUAAUUAGGUGAAGAAAAUGUCUCGAUGGGGGCCCAACAAAUUAGUCCAUAAUACACUGCGUAGUUCGCGCCAUCCCGUGUUUGAAGUUUUAAUUAAUCCAAAGCGCGUGGGCCCAGUCUCUGCUUUCCAAUUGUAGCAGUUUUACAAUAAUAAUAAAGCCCAAUUUUCUAUAAUAUUUAGUGAGAGGACAAAAAAAAUAACAAAAAAUAAAUAAAAUUAUAUUACGUCAUAAUUUUUUUGUAAUUAAAUGAGUACCAAUUUUUUAAACAAAAAUUGAAUUAAACUUGGUAACCAUAGAACAAGACUUGAUCAUGUAUAUACAUUAGUGGAAAAUAUAAUUGGACCAUGUCACACGUUAGUUGUUUGAGUCAACAAUUAUGGCAUGUAUGUAUUUUCAAUAUACAUAAAAGGCAUAACACACCAAUAUAAAAAUUUGCAAGUGUUAUUGCUUAGUUAUGUUUCAGAACUUGUAGAUAAAAAUAAAAAAUAAAAAUUUUAAAAAUAUUCACAUGUUCAUAACUCGAUCAAAUAGGCCCACAUAAGACUAAUAGUUAAUUAAUCAAAAUACGGUUAGUAGGCUAAGGCCCACAAGAUAAAUUUGAUCAAUAAUUAAUUUUCGGCCCAUGUCAGAAGACGUAUAACUUAUCAGCUCUUAAAAUAGUUUAUUAAACAUAAAUGCUUAUCAGCUGUUUUAUGUAUUAAUAUUUAAUAAGCUAAUAAAGUACCAUAAUAUGAGCAAAUUUUCAUAUAGCUUUUCGGAAGCUUGUGAUUGUGCAACAAAAAAAUUGAAAAGGACUUGAAAAUAUCAUUUGUUUUGCUUGGCCAAAAUGGCCUCAUUUCAUUGACAAUCUUGUAUUAUUUUUUGGUUAAAUUAAGACUAAGUCUCACCUAAUCUUUUUUUAUAUCAAUUGUCAACGAAUUAAUUAAAAUAAAUAAUAUAAAUAAAAUUUGUGGGUGUUUAAAAUUGACCCGAUCCACCACUUAAACACCAUGUUUAAUUUAGUUAUUAUUUCUUGCCAACAUCAUUAAGAGGGAAGCUUCUUGCAAGGUUAGCAAUAUUGAUCAUGUUUCUACAUAUGGACUUUGGUUGACUUUUCAAGCUACUUAACUUUUACUUCUUCUACCUUUUCAUUUUUCUUUUUUAAUUUUAUUUUUAAUACAAAUAUUAUCGUUCAAUUAAAAUAUUUAUUGUCAUUUAUUGCUUUUGAAUAUGGAAACUUACUGAAAUAAAUUGAGAUUGGUGAAUGAGAAAAGUGUGCCCAAAAUAAAUGUUUUUUAUUUAAUUUAAUUAGAUAAAAUUAACAAAUUUCGAUUAAUAGAUAAAAAUAUAUAGUGUUUAGUAAUUAUACACUUUUGACAAGGUCAAAUUCAAACUUCGUUAUCUAUGGAGGAAUAAAAACAAAGCUUAAUCCGAAUGGAUCAAACCAAGAAACCUCCUUAAUUAAAGUACUAACAAACAAAACCAGACAAAUAAUCUCAAUUUAUUAACAACUAAUUAACCACUAAUCAAUAUUAAAAUAAAAAUUGAAAAAAUCAAAACGAGAAAAAGAAAAAAAAAGAAAAAGAGAAAGAAGGGAAAAGCAAAAGCGACAGGCAUUCACGUUGUGCCUAUCGAUCACCGAGCGCCACGUGGACGAUCAACGGACGUGGAUCCCACGCCGACGUGGCAUAUCGCGAGUUUAACUGUUAAUUGGAACAAGGGUUUAAGGAAAUUAAAAAAAAAAAGACGGAGAAACGGGAAAAAGACCGUAUCGUAAGUAUACACACUGUUGUGUGUGUAUCUGUGUUAUAUACUUCUAGAGAGAGAAAGAGAGAGAGAUGUUAUAGAUAUAGAGCGAGAAACAAGGCGCGGAGAAGCCGUCCGAAAACAAGAGAUAGAAAAAAAGCUUUGUAUUUUCUUCUUCUCCUCUCUGCUCAAAGCCUUUUCUUCCUAGUCCCAAUUUCUAGGGCACAAUCCAAAGAUCGAAAGACCUCAUCGAUAAUCUAGAAAGGGAAUUAUUGUAUUUGUUUGACUGGCAUUUUUGAUUCCCUCCCCUUAACAGAAAUUGAUUCGUAAUAUACAUAUAUUUAUAUUUAUU